RNAcentral lists this long non-coding RNA (53223 nucleotides) under Lactuca sativa (garden lettuce). RNAcentral describes it as "long non-coding RNA (LSAT_LNC006427)". The record is from RNAcentral. Lineage: Eukaryota; Viridiplantae; Streptophyta; Magnoliopsida; Asterales; Asteraceae.
UUCCAGCAGAAUCAAGAUGAAGGUAUUGCAAGUUGGUGAGGUUUCCAAACUGUGAAGGAAUGGUUCCAUAAAGAGAGUUACUGGAAAGGGAAAGGUACCUUAAUCGAGUCAAAGAACCAAUGAAAGUGGGAAUGGUUCCAUGAAAUGAAUUGUCAGAAAGAUCAAGAAGAUUCAAGUAGGUUAAGGAAUGGCUAAUCUCACCUCCAAGACCAUCCUGUGAAAAGAAGUUGUUGAGUUCAAGCUUUGUGACAUGACCAGUUUGGUUGCUGCACUCAACUCCACUCCAUUUACAGCAGUCAUGUUGGUCAGAUCUCCAUGUAGAGAGAGUAUCAUAAGUGUCGUGAAGGGGAGCUUUGAAGAGAAGGAGCGCAAGUCUCUCAUUAUCCAAACACUUUUUCAUAUUAACACGAUUUCUAUCAUCUCCUCCUUCUCCCACUGCUACCAAUUGGCUGGUAGUUGCAGUCACAAGGAGUACCAAGAAAAGUGAGAAAAUUAUAGAAGCACAAGGAUUCAUAAUUUAAUUAAAAAUGAAAAUCUUGGUGAUUUUUGGUUUGUAAUGAUGCCUGCCUAUAUGAACUGCACCCGUGAGUGUUUAUAUAUAUAGUCUCGACUGUGAGCAUAAGUGAUUCUAAACGGGUGGCCUUGAAUUAAUUGUGCCGGGGAUACAAUAUUUAAUUCCCAUGAAAUUAGAACCAAACUAUAAGAAAAAAUCAAAGAUGAAGAUUUGAAAUAAAUGUCUCAAAUUAGUCGUUCAAAGACUUGCAAGUCUUGACAAUUUGCAUAUAUUAUCUAUAUCUUAUCCGAUUUCAUGAUAUAUUCAAAGACUUUAAAGUGAUGUUGACCAUCACCUUUAUUAAAUACAAACAUAUAAGAAUGUAAACGCAAACAUUAAACUGACCACCAAUUUAACAACAACUAUUUAAUAAAUCUCGUAUUCCCAUUCCUUUGUUAAACAAUUUAUGUUUAUGCUAUCCUAAGAGUAUUUUUAUUAAAUCAAUUAGAAAAGUUUUAGCGGAAACAUAUAUCUAAUUUAUCAUAUCAAUUAAUUCAAAAUUUUCGAACAGAAACAUAAACCCAGUAUUCAACAGAAACGAAAAAAAAUUCAAACAAAAUCAAAAGAAACGUUAUUCAACAGAAAAAAUAGAGAACAGGGAUGAAGAGGAGAAAUGCGUUGAGUAUUAGUGACGGAAAACCAAGAAGAUGACAACGGUAGCUAGGCGGCGUCUUCGACGGCAGUGGGGAGGUAAAAAAGCAAAAAAAUUAUGGAUAUUUUUUAGCAAUAUAUUAUAUUAUAUGGACUUGUUCGCGAAAACAUUAUUAUAUUUAUUUAUUGGUUAUGUAUAUAUCAACCUGAAAGAUAUUUUUAUAUUUUUAUCAUACAAUAACCAUUUAUGUUGCUAAAAAAUAUCCAUAAAUUUAUGUGAUUAUUUUUUUCCCACAUUAAUAAAAAAUAACCUCAUAAUUUAAGUUAUUAUUCCCUAAUUUCAGUACUUGACAUCAGAUCAGUGAUAAUUAAUGUUUUGCAAAAACGACAGUUUUGAACCCUAAUCCAAGUUUGAACCUUGAGUUUAUUAUGCUUGGAAAAUAUAAAAUCUAUUCAUAAUUACAAAAGAGUUUCUAAAAAUAAAAUAUUUAUAAAUUUCCAUUUGUAAUCACUAACCUCUCUAGUCUCUAAAGACUUUGAGUGUGUUCUUGGUGAACGUGUAUGUGAGGUGACUUUAAGCAAGACUUGAAGAUAAAACAAAGAGUUUGUUUGUACUCUCCAACAUAAGAAAACAAGGUAUUAGAUCAAAGUUGAAUAUUAUGAGCAAACUCAAGAACCUUAAGUUUAAGGUUUGGACAAAUGAUGACAAUGUUCUUAAAUAAUCAUUCUUUGAUCAUGCAUCAGCCUAUCAUUAAGUGGGAUUGGUGGUUAAUUAAAGAACUAUCAUAGAUUUAAAAAAGAUACAAGUAUUUGAUGCAUAACAUGAAAUGUAUAAGUUGUAUAGUUUGGUAAUAUAGAAUUUCAAAUCAUGUUUAUGAGUAAUUAACAUGUCAUUAGUAGAGACUGGGAAACUAAUCAUGUAUUAGUAUGAGUUUGAAGUUGGUUUUAGUAGUGAUGUAUAGCGUAUAUUGUUACCCUGCAUGAAAAGCAUGAUCGGGGAUUAUGAAGCAAAGGUUUCGUGCAUGAUCGGGGAUCACGAAGCAAAGGUUUCGUACUCCUGUAACACCUAGCUUUCUUUAUAAAAUACAGAACAAAUUACUAAAAUCGUCCUUUUUGUUUGAUUAAAAUUUCAUUUUUGGUUUUUAACUUUUUUUUUUUUUUUUUUUUGCAUUGGGACUGUUCUCAAAAUAUAAUUUUAUUGCGUUUUUCGUCGCUAUCCGGCCUGAAAAGACUAUACUUCCCUCUCUAAUUUAUUUUUUACUUGUUUCUAUUAUUAGUUUUAUAUUUUUUUUAAUAAAAAAAUAGAAUGGGCCCACACUCAACUCUUUGUCUUCUCACAUGUUCAACCAUCUUUCACUUUACUACCAUUCACUACCAAUACUAUGCCAUUACUCACCCACUAAGACUCAUUAUCACCAUCUCCAAUGAGACUAGAAGUCCGACAAGACCAGAACGUCGACGAACAUCACACGUCAUCACCCACCACAUGUCACCCACCUCCACCAUCUCUCCCCGUAAAUCGGUAAACCCUCAUCAAUAAAUCGGUAAACCACUCACCUCCACCAUUUAACCCCCUAAAUUCUUCGGCGAGUCCAUAACGACGACGAACACCACACUCACCCUUACUGUGCUUUUUCCAUAUCUUUCCUCCAUUGGACUACCAAUAAAGAUCUUAAAUAAAAAAUUAGAGAUCUACAACACAAGAUCUUGAACUCAAAUCAAAAUUGGAGAUAUGCAAUAUAAGGUCUGGAACUCAAAUCAAAGAUCUUCAUUGUACUUGUAUCAUAAAUCUCCCAACACCAUCAUCUUCUUAUUAAAAUUGGAGCCACCACCACCACCGUGUUACUGAAAUGGGUGAUUUUCUGAAAUAGGAGGCACCACCACCAUCGCCUUACGUAAACCAAGCCAGAACCAUCAACGCUUCUGAAAAUCGUCUUUCAUUUAUAGGAUAUCAUCAAAUUUUUUCUUUCAUCAUUGACUUGAGGUUGGGGUUUACGUUUUGGGUUUUGAUUUCUAUAUUUGGUUUUGAUUUCAUUUUAUGUUCUGAUUUAACAAUUUCGGGAGUUGACUUUGGUUAGAUUUUGAUUUCGGGAUUAGACGUUGGUCUGGUUUUGAUUCCUUAGAUUUGAUAUUGGGUUGUCAAAUGAUGAAACUGAUGAUGUGGGCGAUGGUGGUGUCGGAAUAGGUGUAUGGUGGUCGUGUCAGAAUCGUUGAGUGGUAGUUGUCAGCAACUGUGGUGGUUGUCGAUGAACGGUGAAUGAAGGUGGUUGUGGUGUAAGUAGGAGUAUGAGUGGGUCCCAAUAAAUCACUUAAUUGAUUUUCAUAAAUCAAUUAAUAAUAAACAAAUAAUAAAAAAAAAAUAGAAAAUAUAAAGGGCGAUAUAGUUUUUUUUAUCUCUACAAGGGACAAAAAACGCAAUAAAAUCAUAACUUAGGAAUGGUCUGAGUGCAAAAAAAAUAAUACUUAGGGACCAAACCAAUAGUUUUUACCAAACCAUAUGGACUAUUUUAGUAAUUUGUUCUAAAAUAAAAUAUUAUAGUUUUAAAACACUUUCUGGCAUUAAACCAUAUUUAUUAAAAUAUGGUCCCGAAAGUUUUCAUUACAAAACAAAUUCCAAUACUUUAAACCGGGUAUUACAACUGAUACAACCAAAGCCAUAGUAAAGAAAUAAUUAGACAUACUCAUAGAAACUAUGUCCAAUUUCUAUCCUUUAAAGCUCAUUUUAUCGGUGCAAAAAAACUCUUUUACAUUUCAUAUCGGACUUGGAAUACAUGGCAUUUAAACAAAACAUAUGUAAGACAAUAAUGUCUCGUAAGGCAUAUGGGGUUAGACCCAAAAUAUUUACAAUAUAGGUAAAAAUUACCACUUUCAAAACUAGAGAACUCUUUCAUAUCUUGAAAACACUUUGAUAACUUGUAAACUUUUUUAUAGCCUGAAAAUACUUUUAUAACUUCUAAACUCUUUUAGAGCUUGAAAAUACUUUUAUAACUUGUAAACUCUUUUAUAUCUUGAAAAUACUUUCAUAAAUUGUAAAAUCUUUUAUAGCUUGAAAAACAUUGAGACUAUACAAUGCAUGUCCUCACUCAAUGCAAACUUGUGGGACUUCACAAAUCUUUUAUCUUUUUUUAACUCAUGGAUAUGUGUUGAAUAUGGUGUCGAAAAGGACAAAAGUUGUGAGAAUAUGUCGAAUAUGGCUUAUCAUGAUAGAUGAAGAAAUCAAUCUACCAUGAUAUAUGAUUUGAAGUACGAGAGGUAUUAUCCGAGUAGUAUCUUGCUAAUCCCUUCUGUUGUGGCUCGCGUGGUAUUCAUUUUACUCAUUUACUAUGCAAUUUACUAUUAUGAUGUGUGAUCACACUUUUCUUGCCAAGACUUGAUCACACAUGAUGCUACGCUUUAAACUUAAUCAUAACAAUUUGGAUAGUAAUAACAUUUUCAUAUAAAACAUAUACUGGUUGGGGGCAAGCUAAGACGUCGCCUAGGGCCCAACUUCCAAUCUGUUAGUAUUUGUAUAUAAAUUACAUUGUCAAAAACAUUAAACAAACAAGUUACAGGCUAGUUGGUAAGGCGCUUCACAUCUUUAUAAUCAACCUUGGUUCAAUUUUAGCCUGGAACAUAAUUGAUUACUUUUUGCUAAAUUUAAUGUUUCUAAUAUUACAAUGAAUUUUAAAAUGAUAAUACAUAGAGCUUGUCCGACAAUACUAGCAGGUAGCGGGUAGCAUUUGCUUUUGGAGUGUUUUGAUGAAAGCUACUCCAUGUAGCUUUUGAUUUUGGAGUGUUUUGUUUAGGAUAAAAGUUAAACGCUCCUGUUGCCAAACAAGGCUUUUUUUUACUAACGUUUUCCUAAAAGCUAGAAACCAAAAGCUCCCAAACGGUGCAUGUCGAACACGCCCAUAAUUUGUAGCCACCUUGGUAAGAACCUAUGAAAUAUGCACACAAAUCCAUGUUCANNNNNNNNNNNNNNNNNNNNCUAACUUAAUUUAUAAUUAUACAAACAUAUUUAAAAGAAUAAUAAACAUUGUGUACAAGUUACAUUUUGUUGGAACUGAUUUAUACAUAAACCUAUUUUUAUAAAGAAAAGAAUAACUCGGAAAACAAAUUACAAUAUUUGAGUUUAAUUUAUUAAUUUGUUUAUUAAUAAAAUUGUUUUCUAUAAUAAAAAUAAUGUGUAGUUCAGUUAGUCAAAAAAGUUAAAUACCUUGCGCAUUAACAACAAUAUUAUACUUAACUUAGCUCAAAUUUAAAAGUGAGUUUUUGAUAUAUUCAGGGGCACUUUAUUUAGUUUUUCUCCCAGGCCCCAAAUAUGUAUGGACCGACUUUGGUCAAAACAUAAAUCAUAAAGCUUGUAAAAUACUUUUUCCUUACAAUACAUUUUGAUAUGUGCAUAUUUAAUCAUGUAUAUCGUGCAUAUUUAUAAUACUUUUAGCUACAAUUAUGCUUAUUUUGGGACAUAAGGUACUUAUUAUGUUUAAAAUAUGUUUUUUAGUAGCAAAAACAUGCUCGGGAUGAAAAGGAAAAAAAACGAGGAGCUGGAAGCAGGAAAAUUUGGGCUAAGUUAAAAAGAAGACAAAGAAUGCAUAAAGUCUGAAGCCUACAGCGUGGUCACUAUAUUCCAUGCCACGGUAAACGGAAGAAUCACGAUCAAUCAUCUGACUUGGAGAAUACGAGAUUUAAGAGAAGACCACAAUGUGGUGCCUAUUCACUAUGCUGGUGAUCAAGUUUAUGGAAACUAUAUAUAUCCGAACAUUAUAUCGAAUGUAGAAACUUCUGGCUGAUUUUCUGAGAGGGAUUGUGACUAAAACCCUCUAGAAAACCUUGGGAAAAUCAGGACUCAAUUGGAGCUCAAGAGUUGAAGAGAUCUAGACGAAAUCAACAUAGAUCUAUUAAGUUUGCUAGCAUUACUCAUGUCUAGUCUUAAUUACAUUGAUUUAGUGUGCUUUUCUGUUGUGAUGAAAGGCUAAAAAUUUUAUACUUCGGUUUGGUGAAGAUGAACCCAAAUCUUAUGUGUUGAUUUCAAUUUAUUGAUGUUUUACAUUGAUUUUACUUGUGUUUGAUAAUAAAAAUCCUAACAUGUUUUAGUUCUAGUAUGUGAAUGCCUUGCUAUGAGUUUAGUGUAGAUGAACCCAAAUCUUAUGUGUUGAUUUCAAUUUAUGGAUGUUUUACAUUGAUUUUACUUGUGUUUGAUAAUAAAAACCCUAACAUGCUUUAGUUCUAGUAUAUGAAUGCCUUGCUAUGAGUUUAGUGUAGUAGAUGAUCAUUCUAUUUGCAUGAACUUGUUUACCUAGUGAUUUAUGAUCAUUAAAUUGCUAUAGCUAGGAUUAAUCACAUCUUAGAUUAGGUAAUUAAAGCUAGUAACUUUAAUUUUGUUAGAGAGCAUAAUAUAUCUUAAAUUGUGCUUCCUUGCUUAACUUAAUCAUAGCAAAGUAACUAUUAGAUUUAUCAUUCAUAGUCCAAUUUGUGCUUAUAUCGAUUUUGUGUUUAACCUAUGCUUGAUCAUUGCAUGGUAAUUCAUAAAUUGGUACAUCUAGGUAUUUGAUCAUAAUAACUAGUAAAUUAAUGAAUUGGUAUAUCCUGAUAGCAUGUGUUUGCACCAUAAUCCAUUGACAAAACAUUGUGAAGUCUCAUCAGCUUAUGGUUUUUUAUGUUGAAUCAAUAACUACUUUUAUUAGAAGAAUCAGGAGAAGAAUGGUAUGAUACAUUUAAUACACUCUAGUGUUUUGGUGUACCCAUCGACAUAGAGUUUCCAAGCUCUCAUUAACAUUUGUUAUUAAAUGUAGAAUCAUAAAACUUUAAAUAAGAAAAUUGGCCAAGAAUGGAUUUAUGCAUGUGAUAGUCUAUGGUAGAUAGACUAACCAUUUGCACCUAUUUUCAAGAUCUCAUCAGUGUAUGGUACUUUACACUGAAUCAUUAAACUUUAAAGAAGAAAAUAAGGCAAUAAUGGAUUGGUGUGUGUGAUAGCCUACACUACAGUAGUACAUAGACUAAUCAUCGACACAAAAUUUUCAAGCUCUCAUCAGUGUAUUGUAUUUUACGAUGAACUAUGAAACUUUACAGAAGAAAAUCAGGGCAAUAGUGGGUUGAUGUGUAUGAUAAACAAUAAUACAUAGUUUAACCAUCAUCAUAGAAUUGUAAACUUUCAUCAGUAUGUGGUUUUCACAGUGAGUUGUUAAGUUCUGGUAAGAAGAAGUUGAGAGAAAUGGAUGUUUCAGUCACACUGAAGUGAAAUCAACGUGAAUGAUAAAAUAGUUUAAACUCAUCAACAAAAGUGUUUUCAUCUUCCAUAUCAUAGAGUUAAGUGUCAGUUUAAAAUAUUCAAUUCACCAUCAAUUUGUUUAAUAUGGUACAAUACAAGAAUGAAAGAAGAUAAGAAAAUGGAAAACAACCAGAAUACUUUAAAGAGAAAAUUUCAAGCUUUUGCAGAAUAAUCAUAAAAAUGAUUGAAACAUUUUGCAAGAGCAUCAUAAAAGUUUAUACGAAAAAUAUUUUGAGUUGAAUACUCAUAAAAGAGUUUCCUUUUUCAAAGAUAUAUCUUAUUAGGAAUUAACUUUAAAAGAUAAGAAAUUAGCAUCUCAAACCAUAAAAAAAAAUACUACAAACAAGGGAAUAGACAUAAUUCUUAUCCAUUGAUAGGAUAAGAGAAUUGAUGAUACGGUCUUUGUAACCAUCGAGUUAAAAGUUUCUAAUAUGUGGGAGCUUCGAGAUGCCGAAAUCAACAGGGAGGUAGUUGAGGUUUUAUUGAAGGUACUUGAGGUUUUAUUGGAUUAUGAGCCAGUAGAUGCACGUAGGAGUAAAUGUAAUAUCAGUGACUGCUUGUAACCAUGACAUAGGAAGGAGGGGUAGGAGAGCAUCGUCAAGAAGAAGAGGACAUGAUUCAGUCUUUCACUUCAUAUCCUCAUUUGCAUAAGAUGAAGGUGGCUGAGGUGACAUCAAGGGCAAUCAGGAAAUUCACUAAGCCUCUAGCUCUUUUAAUAUGGAGUCAAGUGACAAUUCUGAGUGUAAACGUCACCAUUCAUUACUUACGAAUUGAUAGUUGCAACCAUUUCAAGAGUAAGAAGACGAUUCAAUCUUGCAACUUCGGGGAUGUAAGAAAGAUAAGUGAUGCACAAGAAUGAAGAUACAUGAGAAAUAAAUUAGAGAGGCAAAGAGAUGAAAACAAUGUAAUUACUAGAUAUAUAUAGAAAAGGAAGCAAGCAAUGUCAAGAAUUUUUCUAAAAAGAAAGAAAAAGAAUAAAAGCAUUUUGACUUUAUGUUUUUGUGUUUUAAUAAAAGCAUUAAGAAAAUAAGUAAAGAGAAAUUAAGUCAUUGACAACAUUAGGGGUGAGCAUUUGGACCGGUGGAUCGGACCAGACCCGACCGGACCGUUUUUUUGGACCCCCGGGCCGGUUCUCGGUUCUAAGAUUUCUCUCCGGUCCGGUCCGGUUUUUUUCCCGGUUCGGUCCGGUUUUUACCGGGUUUAGAACCGGUUGGACAUGAUUAUGAUUUUUGUGACGUUUUUUAAACACCUAUAACUCAUUCGUUUUAAGUCGGAUUGACCUGCGUUUUUUUCCAAUAUUUAGUUUACAGUUUGUAGAUAAAUUUAGACUAUAAUUUUGUUUAUUUUGGUAUUAUAUUCACCGCGUUACAAUCCUUCAAAGUAGAGCUAUCAAAGCUUAAAAAAUUCAGCCUUUCAGCAACAUUUUGUAAUCUGUGACGUUUUUUAAACACCCAUAACUCAUUCGUUUUAAGUCGGAUUGACCGGUGAGUUUUUUCAACAUUUAGUUUAUAGUUUGUAGAUGAAUUUAGACUAUAAUUUUGUUUAUUUUGGUAUUAUAUUCACUGAGUUACAAUCCUUCAAAGUAGAGCUAUCAAAGCUGAAAUAUUUAAGGUUUUUAGUAUUAUUUUAUACUAUAAUUUCGAGUCCGUGUUUAGCACAUGUGGUAGAGUUGUAAGUAAGUAUCAGACUAGUUUAUCAAUAUUGAUAGUUGAAGCUUUGUUAUGCACCCAAGAUUGGGUGAUAAAGUCUACAAAUUCGAUAGUUGACAACGUUGAUGACAUCUUGAACGAUGAUGAUAUAGCUUUGGGUAAAAAAAAUUACAAUCUUUAUUCUUUUUUUAUACAAUUAUUAUUUUUUAUUAAAUACUAACAACAUUUUCAUUUGUGUUUAUGUAGAGAUUGCACAAGAUUUAAAUAUGUUACUUAUGGAUGACAAUGAUAUGGGGAAGAGACCAAUAGAAGAUUAGAUUAUGAGUUUAUGAAGUUUAUUAGUUUGAUUGAUUUUAAAGUUUAAACUAUGAUUUUUGUUGUUACGGUAAUACUUUUGUAUGUUUAUCUUAAGAUUGUUUAAAUUUUGUUGGCAAACUUGAUUUAUAUGUUAGUUGCUUUUAUUUGGAAAAUUAAUUUUUGCAAAUUGCAAGUUAUAAUAUCAUACAUCAAUGUAGAUUAGUUAGGCAUGAAACGGAAACGUAUUAAUUUUGCAAGUUCUAAUAUUAUACAUCAAUGUAGAUUACUUAUUAUACUCUAUGCAAUUAAACUUGUACCGGUCCAAACGGGUCCAAAAACCGGAAAGCCCGGACCUGGACCUGGACCCGGACACAGACACGACUCAUCCGGUCCGGUCCAUGGUCCACAAAAUUCUCCAUAACCGGUCCGGUCCAAGAGCCGGUCCGGUCCGGGCCGGGCCAAAUGCUCACCCCUAGACAACAUGCCAAGAUCAACAACCAAUUUGUUUAAAGUCUUCUCAUCUUGGGCCUUAGUGAAAAUAUUCUCCACUUAAUCAACGGUAUGGAUGUAGAACAAGUCUACUUUGCCUUUUUGAACAAUUUCCCUGAUAAAAUGAUGGUGGAUAUCAAUGUGCUUUGUCUUUGAAUGUUGUACCGGAUUUUGAAUCAUUUGGAUGGUACUUGUGUUAUCACAGCAUACGAGAGUCUUUGAGAAAGAAAAAACAUAGUCUAGGUGUAACAUCCUGAUUUUCCCAGGUAUAUUAUUUAUUUAAUUAUUUUGGAGUUUGUGGAGGAACUUGGCGAGUUGGAGCCAAGACUAGCCGAGUAGAGUCGCGGUUAUUCAUCCGGGUUCACGUCCGGACUCGGCGAGUCCACGCUGUUUAAUGAAAACCUAAUCCCCCGGGUUUGGAGCCUAUUUAAGGGCACUUAUAGCCUCCCAUUGUGGCUACCAGUCCCUUGAGAGAACCCUAAGAGAGAUAAAAUGUUGUGAGAGAGAAGAAGUCACUUUUUGAUCCUUGUAUCCUUGGUUUAGCAAGAAGAAGGUGACAAGAGCAAAGAGGAGGUGCGAUUCAAGCAGAUCCAGAGUUCAGAGACUUCAUUUUGAGGUAAUAGUUCAGACCUCCUUCAGUUUUAGUGUUUAUCUUUAGAGUUAGGGUUUUCUAACCCCCUUUGGAGAGUGAUUAUGUGUAGCAAAUGGUCCCUCUUCGAGUUUGUGCCUUGGAUUUGGACUCAAAGAGGUCCAGAGACCUUAACCCUUGGAGCUUUAUGGGUUAGUUUGGGGUUAUUGGAAUUAGGUUGCCAUUUUUGGGACCAAAUCUCCUUUUGAUGCCUUGUUGUGGUUAUACAAGCAUCAAGUUUCGAACUUUGCGUGACAUUCAUGCUUGGGGAGGUCAGAUCUAUGGUUUGGGGAAACAGAUCUGACCUCAGGAGGUCAAUAGAGUUUGUGCAUGGCAUGAACUCGCCGAGUUGUUCUUGAGACUCGGCGAUUAGGUUUAGGGUUCCACAUAAAUUGUUCAGCGAGUAGACUCACCGGGUUGGGGGAUGACUCAGUGAGUCAGGAGGGAGUUAGAGGACUGGAGUUCAAGGCGGUACUCACUGAGUUGUUCUUGAGACUCGACGAGUUGAGUCGGGGUGGCCCCACGAUUCAUGUCUGGUAUGACUCGUCGAGCAUAGGGAGGGACUCGGCGUGUCAAGCGGGACAAGAGUUAGAGGACAUGUGGGAACUCAUCGAGUCACCAGGGUGCACUCGGCGAGUAGGGUCAAGGUGUGACCGUUGACUUUUGUUGACUUUUAGGGUUUGGUCAGCGAUGUGGCCUUUGGGCCAAGAGAGGGGUAAAAUGGUAUUUUACCCUUAAGAGGGUGUCAAGAGAGGGUUGAUUCUAGUCUCGAGAGUUAUAUUCAUGAGAGUAUUUUCCUUAUGUGUUAGGCGGUGGCGAGUUCGAGAUUCAAGUGUGAGGAUAUCUACUUUCUGCUUACCAGGUGAGUCUUCUCACUAUACUUUACCUUGAGUGGUAACAGAGUUAUGUGAUAGAGAUAUUACAUGCUAUCUAUGUGAUGUGUGGCACUGCAUUAUUUCUAUGUGAUUUAUGUUGUGUGUAUAUCAGAGUUAGGACCAGAGGGUCCGCAAAGUUAGGGCCAGAGGGCCCACAGAGAGCUAGGACUGGAGGGUCCCACUGAGACAUACUGACCGGAGGGUCAACAGAGAUUAUAGCUUCGAGUGGCUAAUAUGUGUUAGAGUGGUAUUUUGGGGAACUCACUAAGCUUCGUGCUUACAGUGUUUUGUGUUACGUGUUUCCGGUUUCCUCAAGAUCACGGGACGACACUGGCUCGAUUGUACACACCAGAGGAAGCGUUUGUUUGAGGAUCCUGGUUUAUCUAUUGAUUGAACAAAAGAGUCAUGUAUUGUAAUUUAAACCAAAUGGGAUUUCUAUCAAAAUUAUUAAAGAGAUAAGUAAUUUUAGAUGAAAAUUUUGUUUUGAAAAUUUCGGUGUUACAAGUUAAUAUCAGAGCCUUGUUUUGAGGGAUUCGGAUGCACCUUCGAGUAAAUCUGAACUCAAACUGAGGAAGUAAGAAAAGUUUUCAAAGAAAUGAAAUUGUAAAAGUGAAUAAGAGUUCAAAGAGAAAUCGAGAAAAAGCAGUGUGUACAAUCAGCCAGAGCCCGAACGGUGAUUUUCCCAAAAUACCCUUACUUUUGUGUUAUGAGAUAUUAUGAUACAUUUUAUGAGAUAUUAUGCAUGCUAGAGGCAGGCUAGGUAUUUCAUAUCUUAUGAUUAGAGUGGCCUGAUUUGUGAUUCCUUAGCCUAGGAGUUGUUGUUAUAUGUGCUGUGCUUUUGAGUAUGAGGGAGAGUAUUCAGUUGGAAUCCUCUUAGGGGAUUUGAGUAGAGGAGUAACCUAGGAGAGUCGCCUAGAUGAGUAUUGUGGUGCUUAUCGAAAGAAUAGUUAGAACCCAUGAGGGGUAGAGUUGCAGAGUUCAGUGGUGCUUUUGAGAAUGAGCAGAGCAGGCGGAGUUAUCACCCAAGGUGAGUUCUAUGUAUUCUUCGAUGCCCGAAUGCUGCUUGCUUCGUGCUUUGUGGAACUCUCGAUGAUGGGAGUCAUCUACCAAGUGAAUAUGACGAUAUUCAGGAGGUAGAUGGCUAGAAUCAUUAGGAGCUCUUCAGCAGAUGAUGGCGAAGAAGUGGGAGUGACCUUAGCUAGAUGAGUACGCUGGCAGAGUAGAGCAUUUCACUAAGGAGUAAGCACGCGUGGCAGAAUUAGUGAACAAGAAGGUUGAGCAGCUACUUAGGGACUCUAGAAUGGUCUGUGUGGAAAGUAUGGGUAGAUGUGGCAGGUAGUAUGGGCCCGUACUACCGAAAGCAGAGGACCCAUACUCGAUAUAGGGAGUAUUCUGAAGGUUCUAAGUACCAGAUUGAGGAGUGAUGUUAUGGUACGAGUACCAUACAUCAUAGCAGAUUGAGGAGUGAUGUUCUGGUUUGGGUACCAUACGUCGGAGCAGAUUGAGGAGAGAUGUCAGGGGCUGAGUACCAUGGUUCUUAGCAAUUGAUGCUUGUGAUUCUCCAGUUAACCGAUCAGGAUUGAUUGGUGGAGUAUGGACGCGGUGGGGUUUUAGGCCUGAGGGCCAUGAUUAAGUUCAAAAAGGCAUCCCUAGAGAGGGAGGUCGAGAGCAUUUUUAGAGUACCUUGGUAAGAUGUCAAAGGUAGUCGCAAGACUCCGGGAUAAGUAGAGAAGACAUUUAUGGAGGAUUGCGGUUUGAGUGACCAAUCAGCCGAUGGAGGAGAUGUCACCUUCUUUGACUUGUUGGGUGCUAAUUACGUUUCCUUUGGGAAGUAGGAGAAGUGUGGGAUUUCGGUUUUGGGGUUUAGGAGUAAAACCCUGCGGAAUGACAUUUAUGUCGAUGUUCCAACAGAGUAUCAAGCGGCAUGUUCUCUGCAAGGUAAGGAUAUAUCAUGAGCAUGUAGUCGGUUGGAUCUGAGGUGGUAAAGGACCAUGUUGCACCCUAUCUGAGUAUAGUGGGGCGUGUUGUAGCGGUAUCAGUGGGCAAUCCAGAUGAGUAUAUCAGGGCGGCAACUCUUCUGUCUAUGAUGGAUAUUAAGUAUGGGAGUGAAGUCCCUGUUCUUGUGAUGAUUCAGGUGAUGGAACUUGAGUUGAGAAAUUGAGGUUGAGGAGUACGCUGAUUUAUUGUUUCAGUCUAAGAGUCAGUAAUAUUACUGGAUAGUUGAGGUAUUCGGUAUUGGGAUGGUAUGAGGCUUCGAAUGGCUAGAGACAGUCACGAUGAGAAGUCCCUGAGGAUUUCUUUGGAGAUUUAGGGUAUUUGAAGUUUCUUGAUCUCUAAGUGGGGGAGAUCAUUGGUCGACAUGUGGCAUCUUCCGAGGGUAGGUGCGAUAUUUCUAGUGGAAACAGUCUGUGGGGUGGUUGUGCGUCAAUUGGUGUUGGUUCAAACCCUAAGUGGGGGAGAACCGGGUAUUUUAUUGAGGGAACCAGAGAUUGUGCAAGAGAGGUUAGGGAUUGGAUACAGGAAUCUGGUGGUGACCAGGGCCGUUUCAAGGGGAAGACUCGUAACGGUGGUUCAGGCAGUUAAGAACUUCUGGUUCGAAGUAUGGAUUGCAUAUGUCCCUUUUUAGAUGGAUAGGGGAUUAUCGAGCUGCCAAAUUCCGGGCCGGUGUGUGUAUUUCUGGCGUGGAUUUUGAGCAGUAGGGGAAAAGGGUUUCAGAGGAUCACCAACGUAUUUUGAAGCGUUAGUGCUUUCUUUGUUUCCAAUUGAGUGUUUGGGUACACUGAGGUUUCUCAGUGAGUAACAGAGAAUUAUUUAUGGAGUUCAUAGGAAAUGAAUUGUUGUAUCUGUAUGGUGCUGAGAGUAGGAGAGCAGUGUUUGAGGCAGGAUAUCGUGAUGUCCGUAAUGGUGAUCCGUGGUGACCGGGAAUAAUGUCCCGAUUUCGGAGUUAUUUAGAGCCUUGAGUUUGAGACAACCAAUGGUAUAUCAUGUAUCUACGGUUCCAAUGGGAGCCCGUCGAGUAUUGAAAGCAAAAGGGAUUAUUUUAGAAGAUGGAUCUCCCCAGAGGCAAGUAAUUUUGUUAUAGUGGUUGCCGCUAGAGUCUGUAAUGCAUAUGUGGGACAAGUGUGUUGCUAUCUAUGAUAGUCUACGGGCAUGAGUGAGUGGACAUAGUGUGGCGUUCGGAUGAGUUGACAGUGUGGGGUGAAGCUACGGGGAGCCGUAGUAUUCACUUGACAGAGGGUGUUGUGAUGCUACGGGGAGCCGUAGCAUUCACAAGUCAGAGAGAGGGAGUCGUGGUACUACGGGGAGUCGUAGUACCCACUUGAUAGUUGGUGUUGUGGUGCUAGGGGGAGCGGUAGUACUCACUAGUCAAAGGUCGUCGUGUUAUUGCGGGGAGCCGUAAUACUCACUAGACGGCAAGAGAGUGUGAUGUUGGGGUGUUCCCCUAUCAGUGUUUGAUGCAGAAGAAUUUUAGGCUUGAGCAGCCUUAGUAUAGAGUUUUGGAGCCCAGUGGUUGAACCAAGGGUGGAACUGGGGGUCAGAGUUGAGUCGAUCCUUGGUUGGAAUGUAUUUUAGGAAAAGAGAAUCUCGUGACUUGUGAGUCACUGGGCCGGGAUUGUGGUCACGGGGAGGAAGCUAGUGAGAUAUUUUGGAUCACGUUAUAGGUGAUCUUUGGGGGUUCAGCUGUGGAGUCAAAAGUUGAACUGGUGCUCAGUAUCGAAGUGGGAUAUGAGAAAGGAGCUAGAGUUUGUCAUNCUUGUGAGUCACUGGGCCGGGAUUGUGGUCACUGGGAGGAAGCUAGUGAGAUAUUUUGGAUCACGUUAUAGGUUUUCUUUGGGGGUUCAGUUGUGGAGUCAAAAGCUGAACUGGUGCUCAGUAUCGAAGUGGGAUAUGAGAAAUGAGCUAGAGUUUGUCAUGGUGAUAUAUGAGGACCCUCCCAUUUGCUAGGGAGAGGUAGCGCAUGGACCCGAGAGUCCUUGCGAGCAGAUCUAGAACAUGUGCGAUACAUGGAGUAGUGGCAAGGUUGACAAGUGGAUUUCAUUGGGUAAGGAAAGAGAAAGGUAUGUAACUCCGGGAAGGAGUGUUGGUUCACGGAAGUGAAAGCAGUAGUGAAAACGGAUGAUUAAGAGUAUGGUGGUUGAACACUGUGUCUGUUCCAGUGGUAUGGAAGCACAUCCGGGUUGGGUGUCUGUUGAGGUUGCAGAAGAAUCUCCGUUGGUUUAGAACCAGAGGAGUUCGGAAGAGAUGCAUUUAUAGAGCCUUGGAUUUAAGUAUGGUUGUGAUCUGGAGGUUAUGUUUAUAGUGGUAAUGCAUCCUGGGGAUGUCUGUUGGUAUCAACAGUAUGUCGGGUUUUUCCAAACCGAGGAUGUAGAGCAGGCUCAGCAUGUGUAUGCGAUUUCGAUGGAAAGCUCAUGGGAGUUGCUCAAGGGCUGCAGGGUGUGUCAUCCUGUCAACACGGAAGGAAAAGAGUUAGAUUCCGAAAGGAAGCGGGAUAAGUCCUAGCAGUCAGCACCGGGUCAGGAACACGUGGUUCAGGGUGAUAUCCAGCUUGGUAAGGGCUUAAUGAUUGUUGUGAUUUGGAGUGAUGAAAGUAUCAUCGGGUGAUCAUUUGGCUAAUAAGGGUUGUAAUCAGAGAAAGAAGCCGAUGGUCGGCUUGAUUCGAUUGUCGCGACUCUGUGAGAAGGAGUCAGACCUUAUCGGGGUUUGGUAACAAUGUUGAGGGAACCUGGUCUAGUUAAUGUAAGGAGGUGCAUUCUGAGAGUAAUUCUGGAAUUGUGUGUCGCAGGCUUCGAGGGCGAAGCCUAAUUUAAGUGGGGAGAAUGGUAACAUUCUGAUUUUCCUAGGUAUAUUAUUUAUUUAAUUAUUUUGGAGUUUGUGGAGGAACUCGACGAGUUGGAGCCAUGACUCGCCGAGUAGAGUCGCGGUUAUUCAUCCGGGUUCACGUCCGGACUCGGCGAGUCCAUUAGUGGACUCGGCGAGUCCAUGCUGUUUAAUGAAACCCUAAUUCCCCGGGUUUGGAGCCUAUUUAAUGGCACUUAUAGCCUCCCAUUGCGGCUACCAGUCCCUUGAGAGAACCCUAAGAGAGCUAAAACGCUGUGAGAGAGAAGAAGUCACUUUUUGAUCCUUGUAUCCUUGGUUUAGCAAGAAGAAGGUGACAAGGGCAAAGAGGAGGUGCGAUUCAAGAAGAUCCAGAGUUCAGAGACUUCAUUUUGAGGUAAUAGUUCAGACCUCCUUCAGUUUUAGUGUUGAUCUUUAAAGUUAGGGUUUUCUAACCCCCUUUGGAGAGUGAUUAUGUGGAGCAAAUGGUCCCUCUUCGAGUUUGUGCCUUGGAUCUGGACUCAAAGAGGUCCAAAGACCUUAACCGUUGGAGCUUUAUGGGUUAGUUUGGGGUUAUUGGACUUAGGUUGCCAUUUUUGGGACCAAAUCUCCUUUUGAUGCCUUGUUGUGGUUAUACAAGCAUCAAGUUUCGAACUUUAAGUGACAUUCAUGCUUGGGGAGGCUAGAUCUAUGGUUUGGGGAAACAGAUCUGACCUUAGGAGGUCAAUAGAGUUUGUGCAUGGCAUGAACUCGCCGAGUUGUUCUUGAGACUCGGCGAGUAGGGUUAGGGUUCCAUGUAAAUUGUUCAGCGAGUAGACUCGCCGGGUUGGGGGAUGAAUCAGUGAGUCGGGAGGGAGAUAGAGGACUGGAGUUCAAGGGGGUACUCGCUGAGUUGUUCUUGAGAGUCGAUGAGUUGAGUCGGGGUGGCCCUGCGAUUCAUGUCUGUUAUGACUCGUCGAGCAUAGGGAGGGACUCGGCGUGUCAAGCGGGACAAGAGUUAGAGGACAUGUGGGAACUCAUCGAGUCACCAGGGUGCACUCGGCGAGUAGGGUCAAGGUGUGACCGUUGACUUUUGUUGACUUUUAGGGUUUGGUGAGCGAUGUGGCCUUUGGGCCAAGAGAGGGGUAAAAUGGUCUUUUACCCUUAAGAGGGUGUCAAGAGAGGGUUGUUUCUAGUCUCGAGAGUUAUAUUCAUGAGAGUAUUUUCCUUAUGUGUUAGGCGGUGGCGAGUUCGAGAUUCAAGUGUGAGGAUAUGUACUUUCUGCUUGCCAGGUGAGUCUGCUCACUAUACUUUACCUUGAGUGGUAACAGAGUUAUGUGAUAGAGAUAUUAUAUGCUAUCUAUGUGAUGUGUGGCACUGCAUUAUUUCUAUGUGAUUUAUGCUGUGUGUAUAUCAGAGUUAGGACCAGAGGGUCCGCAGAGCUAGGGCCAGAGGGCCCACAGAGAGCUGGGACUGGAGGGUCCCACUGAGACACACUGACCGGAGUGUCAACAGAGAUUAUAGCCUCGAGUGGCUAAUAUGUGUUAGAGUAGUAUUUUGGGGAACUCACUAAGCUUCGUGCUUACAGUGUUUUGUGUUAUGUGUUUCAGGUUUCCUCAGGAUCACGGGACGGCAUCGGCUUGAUUGUACACACCAGAGGAAGCGCUUGUUUGAGGAUCCUGGUUUAUCAAUUGAUUGAACAAAAGAGUCGUGUAUUGUAAUUUAAACCAAAUGGGAUUUCUAUGAAAAGUAUUAAAGAGAUAAGUAAUUUUAAAUGAAAAUUUUGUUUUGAAAAUUUUGGUGUUACACGAGGAGCUGAUUCUAAAUCUAAAGAAUCUAAGUAUAACAUCUUCCAGUGGCUACGUAUUCAGCUUUAGCGGUAGAGCAUGCCACUGAUGUAUGUUUCUUGCUGGAUCAGCUCACAAUCCUAUUUCCUAGCAUUUGAGCUCCUCCAUGAUCACAGUCUAUAAAUCCCACUAGUUUGAACUUAGAGUCAUGAGGAUACCAUAACCCAAGAUUAGGUGUAUGUUUUAAGUAGUGAAAGAUCCUUUUUAUAGCCAACAGAUGGGACUCAUUUAGGGUAGCUUGAUAUCGAGCACACAAUAUCGUAGUAAACAUUAGAAAUUAUCAUUCCACGAUACAAUGUUGCAUUCACAUGAGUGCCAACUUGAUCAUCAAAAAUAGACGUUGAUGGAGACAUUGGAGUUUUUGCUGGUUUAGAGUUAGAAAAACCAUAUCUCUUCAGCAAAUCUGAGAUGUAUUUUUCUUGGAAAAUUUAAGCUUCCAUCAGUGAGUUGCUUAACCUAAAAAGAAUGAUAGUUCACUCAUCAUGCUCAUUUCAAAAAUUUUGGCGAUAACAUUAGCAAACUCAUAACUCAGUUUCUCAUCAGUGGAUCCAAAUAUGAUGUUGUCGACAUACACUUGAGCAAGAAUAAUGUAAGAUCUAGUUGCUUGAUGAACAAAGUGUUGCCGAGUGCUCCAUGUUUGUAUCCAUUCUCUAGAUGAUAACUAGCUAAAGUGUUAUACCAUGUCCUGGGAGCUUGUUUCAAGCCAUAGACGACUUUAUCUAGAAGAUACACCUGAUCAGGGAAUUCUUCACUUUCAAAUCCUAGAGGUUGUUUUAGAAAAACUUCGUCUUGAAGAUCCCCAUUGUAACAGCCCGAAAUCCAGGUAAGCUUAUGACCCUUUUUAUUUUGGAGAGUUGGCAUAUUAGUCCCUCAAAGUUGUAUGUGAUGGGUUUUGAGCAUUCUAACACUUCCUAAGUGUACAUGAAACCCUAAUAGCCUUGGAUCUAUGUUUGUCUAAUUAUCAUGCAAAGUUGAUUUCCAUGUCUAUGAUCCUAUCUAGCAUACAUGGGGAACAAUUUUAACUUAAAUAAUAGAGAGAAUUACAUACCUUGUUGUUGUAAAUGUUCCUUGAAACCUUGUGAGCCUAGCACCCCAAGUGUGAUGCCUCAAAUGCUUCACACAACACCAAAUGCUAUGGAGUAAACUUGGAGAGAAAGUAUAACACACUAAAAUCAGCUCUAGCCCUCUUGUUUCUUGGUGUAACCGGUUUUGGGAGAACACAUGAGCUUUAUAUAGUGUUGACACAUCUUGGGUUACACCAUGUAAACCCUAAUGUGUGAUGAGUCUUCAUUUCCAUGACCCAUGGGUUUGUAACUACCAUGGAGCCUCCAUGGAGCAUCCAAUGGGUUUAACCCAACUUGAUUAUCCAUGGAGCCUCUAAGCCCACUAUAUAAGUUAUGGAUGAUUUACAUACCAGAAAUAGUUAUGGACUUACAUACCUUAUCCAACAGUAUGGUGGAUUAGUGAGUACGUUGGGCGUACUGAAGUGUACGCCGCGCGUACUCACAAGCUUAAAUUGGAUGCAGACUCGCCCGGGUACGCUGGGCGUACCCAGGGGUUACGUUGGGCGUAGCGAGCCCAGAUGCAAACCCUAAUUCCUGGCUUUUUCGCUAUAAAAGGAACAUGUAGUCCCUUGCCCUAGCCACCAUAUCCCCUUGAGUGAGUCCUUUGAGAGCGGAGAUACGUGCUUUAGCUUGUGUGUGUGUUUUUGAGCUUGAAGUUAUCUUUUCAAGGUGAAGAAGGAGAAGAAGGAGCCAUUGUUGGAGCUAGAAGUUGAAGAACAAGUGUAGAUCCGAGUUCUAUAGUGGUUGGAGAUCCUUUCUGAGGUAAAAAGCUCAAAGCUUUCCGUGUUCUUUAUAAGUUUUGCUUUUUGGACCAUUUUUAAGGUUUUUGGUUCAAAGUUGGAGACUUUAUGUGCAAAGAGUCUCCAUCAGCUUAGACCUGACCUUUUCUAGUGUAUAAUGUGUUGAGGAGUCAUAAAAAUCUAGUCUUGGACGUGGAUCUUGUAUUAUGCAUAAGUUAUAGUCUCAUUAUGGAAAGAGGAAAGGUGUUUUAAGCACAAAGUGACCUUUACAGCCAUGCAAAGGCUUAAAGGUUUCAACUUUAUGGAUUAACUCACAUUAGAGGAGUCGGAUCUGAAGUUUGGAUGCAAGUCUUAACUGAUUAAGACCUGCAUAAGAUGGAUAAGCAAACUGGGCAUUAAGUUGGGGGUAAUCCCAGUAUGUGCGGUGUAAGCAGCUGCGCACCCCGUUUCUGUGAAGGCUUCGGGUACGCCCAACGUACACGUUUGGUACGCGCAGCGUAACCCGGGGGGUUGACUUUUAUUGGCUUUUAGGGUUUGGUCAAUUUUAGUGUAAUUGAGCCAAGUAAGGGGUAAAAUGGUCUUUUACCUUCCUGGGAGUGAUUAAAGGGAAUGGUCUAGCAUAGGGAAAUGUGUUAAUGUUGAGUGUUAUUUCAUAUGAUUAGGCAGAGGCUAGAUCUUAUCCUACGGAGUCCGAGAUUUCUGAGAUUUACGAGUUACCGAGCUACACGAGGUGAGUCUUCUCACUAUACGUUACCUAGAGUGGUAUUUAUGUGGACCGGAGGGUCUUAUGUGUUAUCUAUGAGAUUAUAUGAAUCUAUGUGCUAUGUGAUAUUUGCAUGUUAUAUGAUUGUAUAGACUGGACCGGAAGGUCCAAUGAUAUAGACCGGACUAGAGGGUCGAACGAUUCAGACCGGGCCGGAGGGCCCAACGAGCUAUGGGACUGGAGGGUCCCGUUGAGACACAUCGACCGGAGGGUCGUACUGUACCCUCGAGUGGCGUAUGUGUUGUAUAUGGUAUUUUGGGGAACUCACUAAGCAAUUAUGCUUACAGUCGUUGUGUUAUGUGUUUCAGGUACUAGCGAGGACCGUGAGAAGGUGCCGGUGUGACUCGUACACACUAAAGGAGGGAUUUGUUUUUGUGAUCCUGGGAUAUGUUAUGUUUUGAUAACUAUGGUUGAAUACUUUUGAGAAUAUUUUUAUAUAAAUUUGGUUGAUGAAAAAUGAAAAAUUGUUUUGAAAAUCACGUUGUUACAAGUUGGUAUCAGAGCCUUGGUUUGAGGGACUCGGAUGCACCUUUGGGCGUAUCUGAACUCAAACUGAGGAUUUGAGAAAUUUUCAACAAUAAAAACUAAAUUUUCUAAAAGAGCAAAGAGUUUUGAAACAAACAGAUUAGAGCAGUGUGUACGGUCAACCAGCGCCCGAACGGUGAAUCCCCAAAAUACCCUUACAUUAUGUGUUAUGAGAUAUGCUAUGUUAUGUUAUGCAUGCUAGAGUAGGCUAGGUAUUCAUAUUAGGACUAGAGUGGCCUGAUUUGUGAUGCCUUAGCCUAGGAGAUUUCUGCUACUAUGAGAUGCCUUGAGACCGAGUAGGUAGCAGUUAGGAGCUCAUGAGUGGUCUAUCGGAGGGUAGCCAAUGCAUAGUGAGAGUAGAGUACUUGCAAUCCGGGAUCCAAGGAGGAGGACUUGAGGUGAAUGCUAAUACGGUGUGGUCAGUAGUAUAGGGCCCGUACUAUUGAAGACACCGGAUCAGUAUGCAGCCCAAGUAAGAAUCCUUUGGGUAUUGGAGGACGAGUAGGGUUGUGUUAUCGAGUGCGAGUAUGCUCGAUCGAGUCUCUGAUAUAUUUAUUUUGUAUUUCAGAGGCAUCAUGGUUGGGACACGACACACACCUGAGAGUAGUGGGGUCAGUGACAAGGAGAUCCGUCGUUUGAUUCAUGAGGAGGUGGCUAGUGCCAUCCGGGCUGAGAUUCCAGAGAUGUUUGAGGACAUCAAGACCACACUGAUUGAGACCUUUGAUGAGCGGUAUGUAGCGGUGACUGAGGCUGCAGUUGCUGCAGCUACUGCUGAUGUGGCUGCUGCCAGACCUCAGGGAGGUGACUCGUUGUUGUUUCGGGAGUUCAGCAACACGAAGCCACCAGAGUUCGAUGUGGCGCAAGACCCGAUUGCUGCGAUGAGAUGGAUCUCUGAAAUCGAGGGAUGUUUCUAUACGUGUUCUUGUCCAGAACACUUGAGGGUGCGGUUCACUCUGAACCAGCUCCGCUUGGGAGCGAAGGAUUUGUGGAAGUUCGUGACGGCGAGCUUCACUCUGGCAGAGAUUUCUGAGGUGACCUGGGAGAGGUUCACCACCAUGUUCAGAGAUGAGUAUGUUCCCCCGGUGGAGAGGGAACGAUUGAUUCAGGAGUUCUUGACCCUCAAGCAGGGUACUGAUUAUGUUACAGUCAUUACCAGGAAGUUUUAGGAGAGGGCGAUGUUUUCCCUUGAGCAAGUGUCUACUGAGCAGGCUCGCAUGAGCCGAUAUCUGAGUGUUUUGAGGAGAGAUAUUCGAGAGUUCGUGGUGAACUUGACUUACCGUACAUUUGCUGAGUUCCAGGAAAAUGCCCAGAAAAGGGAGAUCGAGUUGGAGACUCAGGCCAGGGUGGAGGCCGAGUCCCAGUGGAUGGAUCGGCGGAAGGCUUAGUCUCAUCCAACAACCAAGUAAGUUAAGCCCGCUGAUUCGAGAUCUAGGGGCGUGAAGGGUCGGACUUGUGGGAAGUGCGGCAAGAGUCACGAGGGGUCGUGUCGGGUUGGAGUAUGCUACAAGUGCUGGAAGGAGGGGCAUAUCACGAGGGAUUGCCCCAAGGGAUUUUCGGUUUGCUUCCAUUGCAACCAGACCGACCAUCGGAAGGCCGAGUGCCCUCAGCUUCCACAGGGAUCUGUGCCGGCGACCAGGACUACUGAGGUUCGUCCAGUGAAGGCUGAGGCGCCAAAGGCUCGUGGGAGGGCCUUUCAGUUGACAGCGGAGGAGGUCCACGCAGCACCCGACGUUGUGGCCGAUAUGUAUUCUUCUCUCUAUUUAUUUAAGUCUGAGAUAUUAUGCUUAUAUUAUGUUAUGCGUAGGUACUUUUCUUGUGAAUUUUGUACCUGCCUUAGUGCUAUUUGACUCGGGAGCGAGUCGAUCUUUUGUGUCAUUAGCCUUCAGUCACCAUAUUAGUAUUUGUCGAGAGGCCUUGAGUCGACCUCUGCGAGUUUCUAUAGCUAAUGAGUGAGCAGUGUAUGCCACAGAUGCGAUUCGAGGAUGUAUCCUUGAGAUCUUUGGUGUGGAGUUCCCGAUAGAUCUGGUUACGAUUGCGAUGGUGGAUGUGUGUGUUAUAGUGGGCAUGGAUUGGUUGAGCCAAUUUGGAGCUAUUAUAGACUGCGAGCGUCAGUUGGUGACAAUACAAGACCCUAGUGGGGGAGUACUUAUGGUGUACGGAGAGGGUACCCAUCCUGAGUCAACAUUUUGUUCAGCUGCUAAGGCGAGACAGAGUUUACAGCAGGGCUGUAGAGGAUUCGUGGCCUAUGUGAUGGACACGCGAGUGGCCGCUGGGAGGCCAAGUUCAAUUGAUGAGGUCCCAAUUGUGCGGGAGUUCCCAGACAUUUUCCCUGAGGAGUUGUCGGGCGUGCCUCCCGAGAGGCAGGUGGAGUUUCAUAUCGACUUGGUGCCAAGGGUGACACCUAUUGCCAAGGCACCCUAUUGCCUUGCGCCGUCCGAGAUGCAGGAGUUAUCCUCGCAGCUUAAGGAGCUGUUGGGAAAGGGGUUUAUUAGACCAAGUAGCUCACCUUGGGGAGCGCCAAUCCUUUUUGUCAAGAAGAAGGAUGGUUCACACUGGAUGUGUAUCAAUUACCGGGAGUUGAACAAGUUGACGGUCAAGAACCGUUAUCCGUUACCAAGGAUUGACGAUCUGUUUGAUCAGUUGCAGGGGUGUCUUGGUUCUCCUAGAUAGACUUGAGGUCGGGAUAUCACCAGAUGAGGGUCUGGGAUGAGGACAUCCAGAAGACAGCGUUCAGAACUCGUUACGAGCAUUACGAGUUCGUGGUGAUGCCAUUCGGGCUCACCAACGCACCAGUAGCGUUCAUGGAUCUCAUGAAUCGGGUGUGCAGGCCGAUGUUGGAUCGAUCGAUGAUUGUUUUCAUCGAUGAUAUCUUGGUAUAUUCGAAAUCCAGAGCGCAGGAUGAGGAGCAUUUGAGGGAAAUCCUCGGAGUUCUGGGAUCGGAGAGGCUUUAUCCAAAUUCUCCAAGUGUGAUUUUUGGUUACGGGAGGUCCACUUCCUAGGGCAUCUCGUUAACCAGCAGGGGAUAUUGGUCGAUUCGGCCAAGAUUGAGGCUGUGAUGAGCUGGGAGGUGCCGAGGUCACCUACAGAGAUCAAGAGUUUCUUAGGGCUAGCAGGGUAUUAUCGGAGAUUUAUCAGGGAUUUCUCCAAGAUCGUCGUGCCAGUCAACAAGUUGACCCGGAAGGGUGUUACUUUUUCUUGGGGUCCAGAGUAGCAGACCUCGUUCGAGACACUUUGCCAGAGAUUAUGCGAAUCCCCGGUGUUGUCCCUUCCGGAGGGAAUGGAGGAUUUCGUGGUGUGUUAUGAUGCAUCAAUAUCAGGGUUGGGAGUAGUGCUUACGUAGAGGGGGCAUGUGAUAGCAUAUGCAUCGAGACAACUAAAGCGUCAUGAUUCGAGGUAUCCCACUCACGAUCUGGAAUUGGGGGCAGUAGUGUUCGCCCUCAAAAUCUGGCGGCACUAUUUGUAUGGGGUUCGGUGUACGAUAUUCACGGACCACAAAAGAUUGAAGUAUUUGAUGGAUCAGCCCAAUCUGAACAUGUGCCAGAGGAGAUGGCUGGAUGUGGUGAAGGAUUACGACUGUGAGAUCUUGUACCACCCAGGCAAGGCUAAUGUUGUAGCCAAUGCCCUGAGCCGAAGGGCAGAGGGCGCCCCGAUACAAGAUGUUUGCAUGAGAUUGACAGUGAUGAAUCCGGUAUGGGGCACCAUUCGAGGGGCCCAGGCAGAGGCCCUGAGACCGGAGAACCACAAGAGAGAGCGAGUGAUCGGGCAGGUAUCAAAGUUUGUUACCGAUAGUUGAGGACUUAUGACCUUCCAGGGUCGGGUUUGGGUACCGUUUGUGGGCGAAACGCGUACCGUCUUGAUGGAGGAGGCGUAUAGAUCGAAGUUCUCGAUCCACCCCGGGGCCACUAAGAUGUAUUUGGACCUGAAGAAGGAGUAUUGGUGGCCAUGUAUGAAAAGGGAUGUUUCAUGGUUCCUAGAGAGGUGCUUGACCUAUCGCAAGGUUAAGGCCGAGCACCAGCGCCCGCAUGGUAUGUUACAGCCGUUAGAGAUUCCCGAGUGGAAGUGGGAACAAAUUACCAUGGAUUUUAUCACCAAAUUGCCGAGGACUGCUGGGGGUGUCGAUGCAAUUUGGGUGAUUGUGGACAGGUUGACGAAGAGCGCUCAUUUCCUUGCCAUCAGUGAGAGCUCUUCUACAGAGAGGCUGGCAGAAUUGUACGUGAAGGAGGUGGUAUCGCAGCAUGGAGUACCGAUCUCGAUUGUCUCAGAUCGAGAUGUGCGUUUCACUUCCAGAUUUUGGAAGAAAUUUCAUGAGGAAAUGGAUACGAGACUGUAUUUUUGUACCGCGUACCACCGACAGAUCGACGGGCAGAGCGAGCGGAUGAUUCAGACACUCGAGGACAUGCUUCGGGCAUGUGUACUGGAUUUUGACAGGAGUUGGGACACGUACUUGCCCUUGGCUGAGUUUUCCUAUAACAACAGCGAUCACUCGCGCAUUGGUAUGCCACCUUUUGAGCUGUUGUAUGGAAGGAUGUGUCGUACCCCCAUUUGCUGGGGCGAAGUAGGACAGCAUGUGAUGGGUAGUAUAGAGAUAGUGCUUCAGACAACAGAGCAUAUACAACAGAUUACACAGAGGUUGACGACCACUCAGAGUCGCCAGAAAAGUUAUGCAGAUAGGCGACGAUCCGAACUCGAGUUCCAGGUCGGUGAUUUUGUGCUCCUGAAGGUAUCUCCUUGGAAAGGAGUGAUCCGAUUCAGGAAGAGGGGCAAGCUGGGACCCCAGUAUAUUGGGCCGUUUAGAGUGAUCGUGAGGGUGGGCAAGGUAGCAUAUCGCUUGGAGCUACCUGCGGAGUUGGACCAGAUUCAUGAUACCUUCCACGUGUCGUAGCUCAGGAAGUGUAUUGUCGAUGAGUCGGCAGUGGUUCCCUUAGAGGAUAUCCAGGUGGGCGAAAGUCUAAAUUAUGCUGAGAAGCCGAUCGCAAGCUUGGAUUGGAGGAUCAAGGUUCUGAGGAACAAGGAAGUGCCCUUGGUUCAGGUCCAGUGGUAACAUCAGAGAGGGUCUGAGCUGACCUGGGAGCCAGAGUCAGAGAUGCGGGAGCAGCAUUCGAAGUUGUUCGCAGCAUAAGACUUCAAGGGCGAAGUCUGGUUUUAGUGGGGGAGAAUUGUAACAGCCCAAAAUCCAGGUAAGCUUAUGACCCCUUGUAUUUUGGAGAGUUGGCAUAUUAGUCCCUCAAAGUUGUAUGCUGGAUUAGUGAGUAUGUUGGGCGUACUGAAGUGUACGCUGCGCGUACUCACGCACUUAAAUUGGACGCGGACUCGCCCAGGUACGCUGGGCGUACCUAGGGUUACGUUANACCCCUUUUAUUUUGGAGAGUUGGCAUAUUAGUCCCUCAAAGUUGUAUGCUGGAUUAGUGAGUAUGCUGGGCGUACUGAAGUGUACGCUGCGCGUACUCACGCACUUAAAUUGGACGCGGACUCGCCCGGGUACGUUGGGCGUACCUAGGGUUACGUUAGGCGUAGCGAGCCCAGAUGCAAACCCUAAUUCCUGGCUUUUGCACUAUAAAAGGAACAUGUAGUCCCUUGCCCUAGCCACCAUAUCCCCUUGAGUGAGUCCUUUGAGAGCUGAGAUUCGUGCUUUAGCUUGUGUGUGUGUUUUUGAGCUUGAAGUUAUCAUUUCAAGGUGAAGAAGGAGAAGAAGGAGCCAUUGUUGGAGCUAGAAGUUGAAAAACAAGUGUAGAUCCGAGUUCUACAGUGGUUGGAGAUCCUUUCUGAGGUAAAAAGCUCAAAUCUUUCCUUGUUCUUCAUAAGUUUUGCUUUUUGGACAAUUUUAGGGUUUUUGGUUCAAAGUUGGAGACUUUAUGUGCAAAGAGUCUCCAUAAGCUUAGAUCUAACCUUUUCUAGUGUAAAAUGUGUUGAGGAGUCAUAAAAAUCUAGUCUUGGACAUGGAUCUUGUGUCAUGCAUGAGUUAUAGUCUCAUUAUGGAAAGAGGAAAGGUGUUUUGAGCACAAAGUGACCUUUACACCAAUGCAAAGGCUUAAAGGUUUCAACUUUAUGGAUUAAGUCACAUUAAAGGAGUCAAAUAUGAAGUUUGGAUGUAAGUCUUAACUGAUUAAGACCUGAAUGAGAUGGAUAAUGAAAUUGGGCAUUACGCUGGGCGUAAUCCCAGUAUGCGCAGCGUAUGCAGCUGUGCACCCCGUUUCUGUGAAGACUCUGGGUAUGCCUAACGUACACGUUUGGUACGCGCAGCGUAACCCGGGGGUGACUUUUGUUGACUUUUAGGGUUGGUCAAUUUUAGUGUAACUGAGCCAUGUAAGGGGUAAAAUGGUCUUUUACUUUCCUGGGAGUGAUUAGAGGGAAUGGUCUAGCCUAGGGAAAUGUGCGUAUGUUGAGUGUUAUUACAUAUGAUUAGGCAGAGGCUAGAUCUUAUCCCACGGAGUCCGAGAUUUCUGAGAUUUACGAGUUAGCGAGCUACACGUGGUGAGUCUUCUCACUAUACGUUACCUAGAGUGGUAUUUAUGUGGACCGGAGGCUCUUAUGUGUUAUGUAUGAGAUUAUGUGAAUCUAUGUGCUAUGUGAUAUUUGCAUGUUAUAUGAUUGUAUAGACCGGACUGUAAGCUCCAAUGAUACAGACCGAACCAGAGGGUCCAACGAUUCAGACCGGGCUGGAGGGCCCAACGAGCUAUGGGACUGGAGGGUCCCGCUGAGACACAUCGACCGGAGGGUCGUACUGUACCCUCGAGUGUCGUAUGUGUUGUAUAUGGUAUUUUGAGGAACACACUAAGCAAUUAUGCUUAUAGUCGUUGUGUUAUGUGUUUCAGGUACUAGCGAGGACCGUGGGAAGGUGCCGGUGUGACUCGUACACACUAGAGGAGGGAUUUGUUUUUGUGAUCUUGGGAUAUGUUAUGUUUUGAUAACUAUGGUUGAAUACUUUUGAGAAUAUAUUUAUAUAAAUUUGGUUGUUGAAAAAUGAAAAUUUGUUUUGAAAAUCAUGUUGUUACACCCAUGUAAGAAAGCAAUUUUUACAUCCAUCUAAUAGACCUUGAAGUUCUUGAUUGAAGAAAAAGCACGAAACAGUCUAAUUGCCUCAAGUUGAGCAAUGGGAGCAAAAGUUUCAUCAUAGUCCAAACUUUCUAGCUAACAAAAUCUCCGUGCCACCAGUCUAGCCUUGUUUCUUACAACAAUCUCAUCUUUAUCCAUCUUGCUUUUGAAAACUGAACAAGUACUGAUGUUAGUUUUUUUGUUAAGGCUCAGGGACAAAUGUCCGUACGUGAUGACGUUCAAACUCAUUCACUUCGUCUUAUAUGGACUUUCGUCAUAAUUUCGUUCACCCUUUAAUCCAUCAGGUUUCCCAGCCCAAAAACCAACUAUCACCCAUUUGACAGUUUAAGCCCCUAUAUUUAAUUAAUCUAUUUUGGCCACCAAAUUAAUUCCUAAUUAAUUUAUGACUAAUACUAAUUAAAUAAUAUGAUUUUCCUUUUAAUAUAUUAAUAAAUCAUAAUUUCCUCUCUCUCUCCAUAAAUUACCUGGUAAAGUUGCUUUGGUGAAGGCAACCCAAAAGGACCAUGCACAACCUGGUCAAGUUCAUACCAAAUAUAGUUUCGGGCUUAGACACUAAUCCAACAGUCUCCCACUUGGAUAAGUCUGAUAACUAUAUCUCACAUAAGACUUCAGGAUCCGAUUAGCAAUCGUAUCUCUUAUACGUUGUUGUCAACUCUGAUCAAAAUCCUAUCCUUUAGAUAACGGAUCGUAUAAUCCUCUGUUCUAGAUAUCAUGCUGACAAUCACAUGGAACAUAGUCAUACUUAUUAUUCAGCACAUUGUUCCUCGAUCUCCAAUUUGUUUGACAUGGAACCUAGUUGAACACAUCAACUUUGUCCUGACCGAGCCCAGCACAUAACUCAAACCAAAUCAUCAAGUGGCCAGAUAUCGUUUUCAUCCUCUUGGAAUAAAACGAAAAGAUAAACUUCGACUCAUAUGCUUUUAUUAUUCACUGGCUAACUCAUACACAACAAUACGUUCUAUAACAUCAAGUUACUGAUGCGUUUACCCAUUAUCAAUGCACAACCAACCAACAAAUAAUAACCAUAUCUCUAGGUUUAAAGAUUAUAUGAUAUUAUCGUCUUGCGAUCACUCGUGAGAAAUUCCAUGAAGUGAUACCAGCAAGCGCGGGUUUAUUCCAAUGCUCAAAUCAUACUUCAUAAGCACUCAUGAACUUUGCAGCAAACCUUUGUCAUGCCUAAAACCUUUUAGACAAUCUACAAACAAAUUCAUGACAGUCUUCUUUCAUAUCUACUUCCUGAUGGGUUUUGAGCAUUCUAACACUUCCUAAGUGUACAUGCAACCCUAAUAAACCUUGGAUCUAUGUUUGUCUAAGAUACAUGCAAAUAAUUAUUUUUCCAAGGUUCAUAUCCUAACUAGCAUGGCAUGGGGAACAUGAAUCAAAUAAAGCUAGUAGAAAUACUUACCUUGUAGUAGUAGUUCAUUGCUUGGAGUUUUAGAGCCUAGCACCAAUAGUGUGGAUGCCUCAAAUGGAAAUCACAAAUCACCACAAACUUGGAACUUUGAGAGAAUAGUCACUACUAUCUUGAAAUCGGCCCUCACCUCAACAAGUGUCAACUAGUGUAAUUUCAAGAACCAAAGCCUCAUUUAUAUAGUGUGAUGUAUCAGGGUUACUUCCAUGUAAACCCUAAUACCCAUGUCUCUUCAUUUCCAUGAGAUCCAUGGGUUAAAGCUCCAUGGAGUAUCCAUGGACUUUUCCAUGCAAGCCUAGCCCAUUCCAAAUAAGCAUUAGCCCACACUAUAUAAAUAUAGAAGCCCAUAUUUAAUUAGUAAUAUCUUUGAUCUCUAAAUUAAUCCUAGAUUAAUUAUAGAUCAAUACUAAUUAAAUAAUAUGAUCUUAUAUUAAUAUAUUAGAACUUAUAAUAUAUUAAUAAAUCAUAACUUGUACUAUUCUCAAAUAUUAUCCAUAAAUUGUUCGGGUGAAGUGCAACCCAAAUGGACCAUGCCGGGUCGGGUCAAGUACAUACCAAAUAUAGUUAUGGACUUAGACACUAUAUCCAACAGUCUCCCACUUGGAUAAGUCUAGUAACUAUAUUUGCAAGUAUAACUUCAGGAACCGAUCAGCAAUCGUAGCUCUUUAAACUCUGUUGAACUAGAACGCGCCAUUUAGAUAAGUGAUCAUAUAAUCCUCUGUUCUAGAUAUCAGCCGGACAAAUACAUGGAACAUUGUCUUACUUAUUGUCCAGCAGUUUGUUUCCCGAUUUCUGAUUUGUUUGACAAAGAACUUAAUUGAACACAUCAACUUAGUUCUGACCGGGCCCGGUACAUAGGUCAAAACAAAAUCAUCGAGUGGCCCAGAUAUCAGCUUCUAAUCCAAGAAGGAACAGAUAAACUUCGACUCAUAUGUUUGUUCUACCACUCAUUGAAUUACACACAAAAGCACGUUUUAUAACAUCGAGUUACCAAUGCGUUUUCGUACAAUCAAUGCAUAACCAACUCGUAAGUAACAAAUCAUAUCUCUAGGUUUGAAGACUUAUAUGAUAUUACCGUCUCACGAUCACUCGAGAUAAAAUUCCAUGAAGUGAUUCCAGUGAGCGUGGGUUGAGUCCAAUGCUCAGAACUUAUGAGCACUCAUGAUUGUUGUAGCCUUGUCCAACACCUUAGACCUCUGCAACCAAUCAUGACAGUCUUGAUUCAUACCUACUUCCGACAUAUGACCGACUGUGGAGGUUUGAAUAAUAUGAUAUACCAAACAUAAUUAUUCUGGAAGUCAAAACAUGCAAAAGAAAUAUAGUAAAAGAUCGACAAGAGAUAGCAACACUUUACUCAUAAAUAAAACACCUUUUAUUCAUCAUCAAAUGUCAAUUACACUUUACAAAUUUCUGGGUUAUCUAACUACUAAAACUUAUAUCAUCCUUCAGCCCUAUGCUCCGAGCAUGCUGGAGAUGCUUAACCCUACUCAGUCCCUUCGUGAGGGGAUCUGCCGGGUUCUCAUCCGAUGAUACCCUCUUCGCCAUGAGGAGUCCUUCUUCAAUUCGAUGUCUGAUAAAAUGGUAUUUUCUGUCGAUGUGUCUGGAUCUCCCGUGAUCCCUUGGUUCCUUGGCUAAGGCAACCGCACUAUUGCUGUCACAGAAAAUCUCCAUUGGCUCUUUUAUAGCUGGUACAACUCCAAGGUCUCCGAUGAAGUUCUUUAGCCAUAUAGCCUCCUUUGCUGCCUCGCUUGCUGCUAUAUACUCUGAUUCACAAGUGGAAUCAGCCACUGUCUCCUGCUUGGAACUCUUCCAAGAAAUUGCUCCUCCGUUUAGGGUAAAGACCCAGCCUGACUGAGAGCGGAAAUUAUCCCUAUCAGUCUGGAAGCUAGCAUCACUAUACCCUACAACUCUCAAGUCAUCACUCCCACCGAAGGUAAGGACCCAGUCCUUAGUCCUUCGCAGGUACUUGAGGAUAUUCUUUACCGCAGUCCAGUGUUCCUUGCCAGGGUUCGCCUGAUACCUGCUAACCAUGCUCAAAGCAAAGGCUACAUCAGGUCGAGUACACGUCAUAGCAUACAUGAUCGAUCCUACAGCUGAAGCAUAAGGAAGUCGACUCAUUUCUGCUAUCUCAGCCUCAGUACUAGGGCUUUGUGUCUUACUCAAUCUGGCGUUACUCUGAAUGGGUAACUCACCUUUCUUGGAGUUAUGCAUGUUGAAUCUUUUCAACACUUUGUCCAAGUAGGUACUUUGACUAAGUCCAAUUAGUCUUUUACUCCUGUUUCUCAAAAUCUUUAUCCCUAGGAUAUAGGCAGCUUCACCAAGGUCCUUCAUAGCGAAACACUUCCCAAGCCAGGACUUUACUUCCUGCAGGGUUGGGAUGUCAUUUCCUAUGAGUAGUAUGUCAUCCACAUACAGUACCAAAAAACUGACUAUGCUCCCACUAGCCUUGAUAUAGACGCAAGAUUCAUCUUCACUCCUUGAAAAGCCAAAUUCCUUGACUUUCUCAUCAAAGCAAAGAUUCCACCUGCGAGGUGCCUGUUUCAAUCCAUAAAUGGAUUUCUCGAGUUUACACACUCUAUUAGGGUACUCGUUGCUGACAAAACCCUCUGGCUGACUCAUGUAAACAUCUUCAGCCAACUUUCCAUUAAGGAAAGCGGUUUUGACAUCCAUUUGCCAUAUUUCAUAGUCAUGAAAUGCAGCUAUGGCUAACAGAACCCGAAUAGACUUAAUCUUGGCUACUGGAGAAAAGGUCUCAUCAUAGUCCACUCCAGGAAUUUGAGAGAAGCCCUUUGCAACCAGUCUCGCCUUAUAAGUGUGUACUUUACCAUCCAUGUCGGUCUUCUUCUUGAAGACCCAUUUGCACCCUACAGUCUUACGACCUGGUACAUUCUCAACCAAGUUCCAAACUUGAUUGUCAUACAUGGAUUGUAUCUCGCUAUCCAUGGCCUCUUUCCAUUUAGCAGCCUCAGGGCCUGCCAUGGCUUCCAUGUAGCUGUUAGGUUCAUCCAGACCUACUAGUGUCUCAUCACUAAUAAGUGUCUCACCUUCCGCAGUAAUAUGGAAACCAUAGUAAUGCUCAGGUGCAUUCCUAACUCUCGUGGAACGCCUCAGAGGUACAGGCUCAUCAACUGGCUCAACAGGAGUUUCCUCCUCAAGUUGAGGGCUAGUGUUUGAAGUUCCUUCACCGCUUGAUUCUUGAAUUUCUUCAAGAUCAAUUUGCCUCCCACUGUCUCCUUGGCUUAUAAAUUCUCUCUCUCGAAAGACUCCUCUUCUUGCUACAAAGACCACAUUGUCACUAGGUCUGUAGAAGAGGUAACCAAAGGAUCGCUGUGGGUAACCGAUGAAAAUACACCUCUCGCUUCGAGGUUCGAGCUUAUCAUGAGUCUCGCGUCUCACGAAAGCCUCGCAACCCCAAAUCUUGAUGUGGUCUAGUUUAGGUACUUUACCAGUCCACAUCUCGUGAGGAGUUUUGGCAACUUUCUUUGUAGGGACUAGAUUAAGAAUAUGGGCGGCAGUCUCUAAGGCAUACCCCCAGAAUGAGAUUGGUAGCGUAGCUCGACUCAUCAUGGAACGAACCAUAUCCAACAAGGUUCGAUUACGCCUCUCAGCCACACCAUUCAACUGUGGUGUCCUGGGAGGUGUCAAUUGUGAGACUAUCCCACAUUCCCUAAGAUAGUCGAGGAACUCUGAACUAAGAUACUCACCACCUCGAUCGGAUCGAAGCAUCUUAAUGUUCCUGCCCAAUUGAUUCUCGACUUCCUGUUUAAAUUCCUUAAACCUCUCGAAAGUCUCUGACUUAUGCUUGAUUAAGUAGACAUAUCCAUAUCUACUAUAAUCAUCAGUAAAAGUCAAAUAAUAACGAUUAGCAUCCCUUGUGGCAUGUUUGAAUGGUCCACACACAUCCGUGUGUAUAAGGUCCAACAAACCUUCACCCCUCUCACACGAACCUGUGAAGGGUGACUUUGUCAUUUUUCCAAGUAAGCAUGAUUCGCAACUAUCAUCUGACUUUAGGUCAAACGACUCCAAGACUCCAUCCUUUUGGAGUUGGCCUAUGCGUUUCUUGCUUAUAUGUCCAAGACGACAAUGCCAUAAUGAUGCUUUAUCCAAGUUAUUAUUAGUAGAAUCAAUACACAAAACAUUAUUUCCCAAGUUAUCUACAACAGAUACAGCUUCAUACACACCAUCACAAGGUAAUGCUUUAAAAUAAAAGACAUUAUUAUAGAAAACAUCUAUAGAACCAACUUCAUUAUUAAAUGAAAAGGUAAACCCUUGUUUGUACAAAGCAUGAAAGGAAAUAAUAUUUCUUGCCAUUCCUGGCGAAUAACAACACUUAUUCAAAUCUAAACUAAACCCACUACUUAGCGAUAAAGUAUAAACUCCAAUCUUGGUAACAGGUAUAGCUUUCCUAUUCCCCAUGAUCAAGUUUAUCCUUCCUUGCUCCACAUCCUCACUUCUUCUUAGUCCCUGCAAGUCACAACAAAUGUGAAUACCACACCCGGUAUCAAGGACCCAAGAAUUAGAAUGGGGUGAGUUAUUAGAAAUGAUAGUGUAAAUACCUGCAUGGUUGGGUUUAACUUUCCCAUCCUUCACAUCUUGCUGGUAUUUUGGGCAGUUCCGCUUCCAAUGAGCUUUUUCAUGGCAAUAGAAGCAUUCAGCCUCUUUUGGGUCAGAAGAAGGAGUAAUGAAACCUUUCUUGGUUCCACUUGAAGAAGAGCCAUCAAGGGUCCGAGCCUUGGUACCCUUAGAAGAGCUCUUUCUCUUCCUCCCUCGACUUUUCCCGAUUGCCAAAACCGGAGUAGAGUUUUGAGUAGGAGUGAUAGCAACCGACUUCCCCUUAAGACCUGUUUCUGCGGUCUUGAGAAGUCCCUGAAGUUUGCUGAGGGUGACUUCUUCCUUGUUCAUGUGAUAUGUCAUGCGGAAUUGAUCAUAGCACGAUGGUAAGGAAUGCAAAAUAAUAUCUAUUGCAAGAUCCUCCGGGAAGUUCACAUUAAGCUUCAGCAAACGAUCCACAUACCUUUGCAUUUUCUGCAUGUGGCUCGUGACGGAUUCCCCGUCCUUCAUCAUGGUUGUUAUCAUGGAGCAGAUGAUUUCAUACCUCUCUUGUCUUGCACUUUGAUGGUAUCUUUCCAUCAAAUCUUGGUGCAUGUCAUAAGGGUAGAAAUCCUCAUAAGACUUUUGGAGUUCCGCUGUCAUCGUGGCCAUCAUGAUGCAAGCCACUUUCGUAGCAUCCCUUUCAUGUGCCCGAAAUUCAGCGAUCUCCUGAGGAGUUGCAGUGGACUCAUCAAUCUCCUUAAGCUCCUUGUCAAGGACAUAUUCUUUGUCCUCGUAGCGGGUAAUCAUCCUGAUGUUUCUGAUCCACUCAUUGAAGUUGGAUCCAUCAAAGGUGACUUUCCCACACAAGUUCAUAAGGGUAAAGGAGCCAUUAGGAUUAGAGCCAGAAGCAUUGUUGAAAGACAUCUGAAGGAAAGAGGACAAGAUUAGUUUAGAUAUAAGAGAGUCCUUAAUAAAACACCCAAAUGUAAUAUUAAGGCUAGGAUCCAAUCACAAUAUAAUAUAACUUAGAAGAGGUAUGCCGUAAUCUAAGCUAUAUCAUAUUUGAAAGGUAGGUGAAUGACGAUUCACCAAUUUCCACCACGAAAACCGCAAUAUUUUAGUAUUAGGUUUUUGAAUGGUUCUUAGAAAUUCCUAGAUUCUUUGAGAUUCAAUGAACUUUUCAAAGGCAUGUUUCAAUCUCGAGUGUGCCCUCCAAGUUUUGUGACUGGGAUACCGAGGAUCACAAAACGAGGUGUGAAGUAACCAUGCAAAUCACUUGGUACCCUUAAAGUUUAUCACUCAAUCGAUGUGCCGGUUAACCACACACGCUCCAUCGAUACUAUAAUAAACCCUAAGUCACCCUUUACCUACCUUGUUAAGUCCAAGUUAGUGUGCCGGUUAACCACACACGCUCCACCAACGACUUAAUCAAAGUGUAAAGUGUAAUUUCAUGGAAUAGCACCUUAUUCACAUUUUUCCUAAAGUAACUAAGAUUGGGAAUUUAAUAAAACAUUUAGUUACUUUAUAAUAUUCAUCAUACUUUGAAUGAGAAUUAAUAAGUCCUUGUCUUACCCGUUCGGCUAACGACCCUCCACCGAUCAAGCAAGCGGUGGGUGAGAGUGGACACCCAUUAAGUCACCAUUUUAUAGGCAACAACCUUAUACCCACCUUAUAGACCGGCUUCGUGAAUGAGGCGUACUAGCGGUAAGACGACUUUGUUCUUAUACAUAUAUAUAUAAUUAUUAAAUCAUAAUAAUAUAAGUAUAAGGGUUGAAUUUUAACUUUUAAAAUUCUAGGGGUUGGAACUAAAGUUUUAACUUAACUUUACUUGUUCCAAAACUUGAGGGCAAGUUUUGUAAACUUUCAAAACUUUUCAUUUCUUGUAACUUAUGAGUUUAAUAGAGUAAUAAAAUGAGGACUUUUCAUUUUUCCUAACUCUUGUGUUCUUUUAAUGGUUUUUAAUCCAAGAGACUUUUGGUUUUCCAUAACUUGAGGACAAGUUAUGGACUCCAUUAAAACACAUUAUGAUCAUGAAUUAAUCUACCACAUAGGUUACAAAUAAUUCCUAUGAUCAUCUAAACAUCAUAAGAACAAGAAUAUGAAUAUGAACACUUUCAAGAAUCAAAAUCACAUUUAAUCUUUGUAAUUUUGAUAACUAGUUGUUGUAAAUGAGUUAGAAAAGACAUUACACCUUCUAAAAUAAGUUUUCAAGUACCAAAACAUUUUAGGGUAAUGAUUCUAAUCCAUUUCCAGCAACUCAAGUCGAAAUUCUGCACUCUGUCGACCCUACUCGCCGAGUGCAUAAACCUACUCGCCGAGUAGGUUGAAGAUACACAUGAACUCGACGAGUCCUCCCCAUGGACUCGCCGAGUCCAUCAGUCAGACAGCAGAAUUUUCGACUUUCUUCAACUUUUAAGCACAAAUAACAAACAAACAAGCCUAGGCUCUGAUACCACUGAUGGGUUUUGAGCAUUCUAACACUUCCUAAGUGUACAUGCAACCCUAAUAAACCUUGGAUCUAUGUUUGUCUAAGAUACAUGCAAAUAAUUAUUUUUCCAAGGUUCAUAUCCUAACUAGCAUGGCAUGGGGAACAUGAAUCAAAUAAAGCUAGUAGAAAUACUUACCUUGUAGUAGUAGUUGAUUGCUUGGAGUUUUAGAGCCUAGCACCAAUAGUGUGGAUGCCUCAAAUGGAAAUCACAAAUCACCACAAACUUGGAACUUUGAGAGAAUAGUCACUACUAUCUUGAAAUCGGCCCUCUUGCUUUACUCACCUCAACUAGUGUGAUUUCAAGAACCAAAGCCUCCUUUAUAUAGUGUGGUGGAUUAGGGUUACAUCCAUGUAAACCCUAAUACCCAUGUCUCUUCAUUUCCAUGAGAUCCAUGGGUUAAAGCUCCAUGGAGUAUCCAUGGACUUCUCCAUCCAAGCCUAGCCCAUUCCAAAUAAGCAUAAGCCCACACUAUAUAAAUAUAGAAGCCCAUAUUUAAUUAGUAAUAUCUUUGAUCACUAAAUUAAUCCUAGAUUAAUUAUAGAUCACUACUAAUUAAAUAAUAUGAUCUUAUAUUAAUAUAUUAGAACUUAUAAUAUAUUAAUAAAUCAUAACUUGUACUAUUCUCAAAUAUUAUCCAUAAAUUGUUCGGGUGAAGUGCAACCCAAAUGGACCAUGCCGGGUCGGGUCAAGUACAUACCAAAUAUAGUUAUGGACUUAGACACUAUAUCCAACACUUCCAACAUAUGAGCGACUGUGGACUGAUUGAAUAAUCUUAUUAUUCAGGAAGUCAAAACAUGCAAAAUUGAAACAAUAGGUAAAUAAUCAGCACAAGAUAGUAGCUUUACUCAUAAACAAUACACCUUUAUUUAUUCAUCAAAUGUCAAGUACAAAUUAUCUAUUACACAUUUCCUAUUUAUCUAAUUUAAACUUAUAUCGUCCUUCACCCUAUGUUCCUCGCAUGCCGCAAGUGCUUAACCCUACUAAGUCCCUUUGUAAGGGGAUCUGCUGGGUUAUCUUCUGACGAUACCCUCUACACCACGAGGGGUCCAGCUUCUACCCGAUGUCUAAUGAAGUGAUAUUUUAUGUCGAUAUGUCUGGAUCUGCCGUGAUCCCUUAGUUCCUUGGUCAAGGCAACCGCACCUUCAUUAUCACAGAAAAUCUCCAUAGGCUCCUUUAUGGAUGAAAAAACUCCAAGGUCUCCACUAAAGUUAUUCAACCAUAUUGCCUCCUUUGAUGCUUCACUUUCCGUAAUGUAUUCUGAUUCGCACGUUGAAUAAGCUAUCGUCUCUUGCUUGGAACUUUUCCAACUCACUGCUCCUCCGUUAAGGCUAAAGACCUAGCCAGGCUGCGAUCGGUAAUUAUCCCGAUCAGUCUGAAGACUAGCGUCACUGUAUCCUCGUACCCUUAAGUCAUCACUCCCACCGAGGACUAGAAACCAUUCCUUGGUCCUCCGAAGGUACUUAUGAAUAUUCUUAACUGCAGUCCAAUGAGCUCUACCAGGGUUUCCCUGAUAUCUGCUCACCAUGGUUAAAGUGAAGGCCACAUCAGGGCGAGUACAAGUCAUAGCGUACAUGAUUGAGCCAACUGCGGAAGCGUAAGGUAGUCGACUUAUCUCUGCUAUCUAUGCCUUUGUACUUGGGCUCUGAGUCUUACUCAGCUUGGUAUUGCUUUGGACUGGCAAUUCCCCUUUCUUGGAAUUUACCUUCCUAAAACGUUUUAGUACCUUAUCCAAGUAUGUAUCCUGACUGAGUCCUAUCAGUCUUUUACUCCUGUUUCUUACUAUCCUUAUUCCCAGAAUAUACGCAGCUUCUCCGAGGUCCUUCAUAGCAAAGCACUUCCCAUGCCAGGACUUGAAUUCCUGCAAGGGUGGGAUGUUGUUUUCCUAUGACAGGAGUUGGGACACGUAUUUGCCCUUGGCUGAGUUUUCCUAUAACAACAGCGAUCACUCACACAUUGGUAUGCCACCUUUUGAGCUGUUGUAUGGAAGGAUGUGUCGUACCCCCAUUUGCUGGGGCGAGGUAGGACAGCAUGUGAUGGGUAGUAUAGAGAUAGUGCUUCAGACGACGGAGCAGAUACAACAGGUUAGACAGAGGUUGACGACCACUCAGAGUCGCCAGAAAAGUUAUGCAGAUAGGCGACGAUCCGAACUUGAGUUCCAGGUCGGUGAUUUUGUGCUCCUGAAGGUAUCUCCUUGGAAAGGAGUGAUCCGAUUCAGGAAGAGGGGCAAGCUGGGACCCUAGUAUAUUGGGCCGUUUAGAGUGAUGGUGAGGGUGGGCAAGGUAGCAUAUCUCUUGGAGCUACCUGCGGAGUUGGACCAGAUUCAUGAUACCUUCCACGUGUCGCAGCUGAGGAAGUGUAUUGUCGAUGAGUCGACAGUGGUACCCUUAGAGGAUAUCCAGGUGGGCGCAAGUCUAAAUUAUGCUGAGAAGCCGAUCGCAAGCUUGGAUUGGAGGAUCAAGGUUCUGAGGAACAAGGAAGUGCCCCUGGUUCAGGUCCAGUGGUAACAUCAGAGAGGGUCUGAGCUGACCUGGGAGCCAGAGUCAGAGAUGCGGGAGCAGCAUUCGAAGUUGUUCGUAGCAUGAGACUUCAAGGGCGAAGUCUGGUUUUAGUGGGGGAGAAUUGUAACAGCCCAAAAUCCAGGUAAGCUUAUGACCCCUUUUAUUUUGGAGAGUUGGCAUAUUAGUCCCUCAAAGUUGUAUGCUGGAUUAGUGAGUAUGCUGGGCGUACUGAAGUGUACGCUGCGCGUACUCACGCACUUAAAUUGGACGCGGACUCGCCCGGGUACGUUGGGCGUACCUAGGGUUACGUUAGGCGUAGCGAGCCCAGAUGCAAACCCUAAUUCCUGGCUUUUGCACUAUAAAAGGAACAUGUAGUCCCUUGCCCUAGCCAUCAUAUCCCCUUGAGUGAGUCCUUUGAGAGCUGAGAUUCGUGCUUUAGCUUGUGUGUGUGUUUUUGAGCUUGAAGUUAUCAUUUCAAGGUGAAGAAGGAGAAGAAGGAGCCAUUGUUGGAGCUAGAAGUUGAAAAACAAGUGUAGAUCCGAGUUCUACAGUGGUUGGAGAUCCUUUCUGAGGUAAAAAGCUCAAAUCUUUCCUUGUUCUUCAUAAGUUUUGCUUUUUGGACAAUUUUAGGGUUUUUGGUUCAAAGUUGGAGACUUUAUGUGCAAAGAGUCUCCAUAAGCUUAGAUCUAACCUUUUCUAGUGUAAAAUGUGUUGAGGAGUCAUAAAAAUCUAGUCUUGGACAUGGAUCUUGUGUCAUGCAUGAGUUAUAGUCUCAUUAUGGAAAGAGGAAAGGUGUUUUGAGCACAAAGUGACCUUUACACCAAUGCAAAGGCUUAAAGGUUUCAACUUUAUGGAUUAAGUCACAUUAAAGGAGUCAAAUAUGAAGUUUGGAUGUAAGUCUUAACUGAUUAAGACCUGAAUGAGAUGGAUAAUGAAAUUGGGCAUUACGCUGGGCGUAAUCCCAGUAUGCGCAGCGUAUGCAGCUGUGCACCCCGUUUCUGUGAAGACUCUGGGUAUGCCUAACGUACACGUUUGGUACGCGCAGCGUAACCCGGGGGUGACUUUUGUUGACUUUUAGGGUUGGUCAAUUUUAGUGUAACUGAGCCAAGUAAGGGGUAAAAUGGUCUUUUACCUUCCUGGGAGUGAUUAGAGGGAAUGGUCUAGCCUAGGAAAAUGUGUUGAUGUUGAGUGUUGUUACAUAUGAUUAGGCAGAGGCUAGAUCUUAUCCCACGGAGUCCGAGAUUUCUGAGAUUUACGAGUUAGCGAGCUACACGUGGUGAGUCUUCUCACUAUACGUUACCUAGAGUGGUAUUUAUGUGGACCGGAGAGUCUUAUGUGUUAUGUAUGAGAUUAUGUGAAUCUAUGUGCUAUGUGAUAUUUGCAUGUUAUAUGAUUGUAUAGACCGGACUGUAAGCUCCAAUGAUACAGACCGAACCAGAGGGUCCAACGAUUCAGACCGGGCUGGAGGGCCCAACGAGCUAUGGGACUGGAGGGUCCCGCUGAGACACAUCGACCGGAGGGUCGUACUGUACCCUCGAGUGGCGUAUGUGUUGUAUAUGGUAUUUUGAGGAACACACUAAGCAAUUAUGCUUAUAGUCGUUGUGUUAUGUGUUUCAGGUACUAGCGAGGACCGUGGGAAGGUGCCGGUGUGACUCGUACACACUAAAGGAGGGAUUUGUUUUUGUGAUCUUGGGAUAUGUUAUGUUUUGAUAACUAUGGUUGAAUACUUUUGAGAAUAUUUUUAUAUAAAUUUGGUUGUUGAAAAAUGAAAAUUUGUUUUGAAAAUCAUGUUGUUACACCCAUGUAAGAAAGCAAUUUUUACAUCCAUCUAAUAGACCUUGAAGUUCUUGAUUGAAGAAAAAGCACGAAACAGUCUAAUUGCCUCAAGUUGAGCAAUGGGAGCAAAAGUUUCAUCAUAGUCCAAACCUUCUAGCUAACAAAAUCUCCGUGCCACCAGUCUAGCCUUGUUUCUUACAACAAUCUCAUCUUUAUCCAUCUUGGUUUUGAAAACUGAACAAGUACUGAUGUUAGUUUUUUGUUAAGGCUCAGGGACAAAUGUUCGUACGUGAUGACGUUCAAACUCAUUCACUUCGUCUUAUAUGGACUUUCGUCAUAAUUUCGUUCACCCUUUAAUCCAUCAGGUUUCCCAGCCCAAAAACCAACUAUCACCCAUUUGACAGUUUAAGCCCCUAUAUUUAAUUAAUCUAUUUUGGCCACCAAAUUAAUUCCUAAUUAAUUUAUGACUAAUACUAAUUAAAUAAUAUGAUUUUCCUUUUAAUAUAUUAAUAAAUCAUAAUUUCCUCUCUCUCUCCAUAAAUUACCUGGUAAAGUUGCUUUGGAGAAGGCAACCCAAAAGGACCAUGCACAACCUGGUCAAGUUCAUACCAAAUAUAGUUUCGGGCUUAGACACUAAUCCAACAGUCUCCCACUUGGAUAAGUCUGAUAACUAUAUCUCACAUAAGACUUCAGGAUCCGAUUAGCAAUCGUAUCUCUUAUACGUUGUUGUCAACUCUGAUCAAAAUCCUAUCCUUUAGAUAACGGAUCGUAUAAUCCUCUGUUCUAGAUAUCAUGCUGACAAUCACAUGGAACAUAGUCAUACUUAUUAUUCAGCACAUUGUUCCUCGAUCUCCAAUUUGUUUGACAUGGAACCUAGUUGAACACAUCAACUUUGUCCUGACCGAGCCCAACACAUAACUCAAACCAAAUCAUCAAGUGGCCAGAUAUCGUUUUCAUCCUCUUGGAAUAAAACGAAAAGAUAAACUUCGACUCAUAUGCUUUUAUUAUUCACUGGCUAACUCAUACACAACAAUACGUUCUAUAACAUCAAGUUACUGAUGCGUUUACCCAUUAUCAAUGCACAACCAACCAACAAAUAAUAACCAUAUCUCUAGGUUUAAAGAUUAUAUGAUAUUAUCGUCUUGCGAUCACUCGUGAGAAAUUCCAUGAAGUGAUACCAGCAAGCGCGUGUUUAUUCCAAUGCUCAAAUCAUACUUCAUAAGCACUCAUGAACUUUGCAGCAAACCUUUGUCAUGCCUAAAACCUUUUAGACAAUCUACAAACAAAUUCAUGACAGUCUUCUUUCAUAUCUACUUCCUGAUGGGUUUUGAGCAUUCUAACACUUCCAUCUGCGAGACGCUUGCUUCAAUCCAUAGAUGGAUUUCUCAAGCUUGCACACUCUAUUGGGGUGCUUCACAUCGACAAAAUCCUCUGGUUGUUUCAUGUAAACAUCCUCAGCUAACUUCCCAUUAAGGAAAGCAGUUUUAACGUCCAUCUGCGAUAUUUCAUAGUCAUGAAACGUAGAUAUUGCGAGCAUCACCCUAAUAGACUUUAUUUUCGCGACUGGUGAAAAGGUCUCAUCAUAGUCAACUCCUGGAGUUUGUGUAAAUCCCUUCGCAACCAAUCGUGCUUUAUAAGUGUGUACUUUCCCAUCCAUGUCCAUCUUCUUCUUAAAGAUCCAUUCGCACCCGACCGUCUUACGACCUGGUACAUUAUCAACCAAAUUCCAAACUUAGUUGUCGUACAUAGACUGAAUCUCACUAUCCAUUGCUUCUUUCCAUUUAGCAGACUCCGGGCCUGCCAUGGCUUCCUUGUAGUUGCUAGGUUCGUCCAAAUUUACUAGUGUACUAUCACUAAUAAAUGUAUCCCCUUCAGUAGUAAUAUGGAAUCCAUAAAACCGGGGUGGAACACUAGCCCUACUUGAAUGUCUAAGAGGUAAUGACUCGUCAACAGGUUCAACAGGAGAUUCCUACUCAGGUUGAUCGCCAGUGUUAGAGGUUCCUUCAUCACUCGACUCUUGAAGCUCUUCAAGAUCGAUUUUCCUUCCGCUGUCCCCUUGGCCUAUGAGUUCUCUCUCUAGGAAAACCCCUCUCCUUGCAACGAAGACAACAUUGUCACUCAGUCUAUAGAAGAGAUAUCCGAAGGACGUUUGCGGGUAGCCGAUGAAAAUACAUCACUCAUUACGAGGUUCGAGCUUGUCGUGAGUCUCUCGUCUUACGAAAGCCUUGCAACCACAGACCUUGAUAUGUGCCAACGAGGGAGCUUUCCCUGUCCACAUCUCGUGAGGUGUUUUGGUAACCUUCUUCGUGGGAACUAGGUUAAGGAUAUGGGCAGCAGUCUCUAAGGCACACCCCUAUAAAGCUAUUGGUAACGAAUUCCGACUCAUCAUAGAAUGAACCAUGUCCAACAAGGUCCGAUUACGUCUCUCAGCCACACCGUUCAGUUGUAGCGUCCUAGGAGGCGUCAAUUGCGAAACAAUUCCGCAUCCCUUUAGAUAGUCGUGAAACUCAAGACCUAGGUACUCUCCUCCUCGAUCAGAUCGAAGCAUCUUGAUUUUCCUGCCCAGCUGAUUCUCCACUUCAUUCUUAAACUCUUUGAACUUUUCAAAGGUUUCUGACUUUUGCUUUAUUAAGUAGAUAUAUUCAUAUUUGCUAUAAUCAUCUGUAUAAGUCAUGUAGAAGUGGAAAGCAUCCCUUGUGGUGGAUCUAAAGGGACCACAAACAUUUGUGUGUAUGAGAUCCAAUAGACCCUCACCCCUUGAACAAGUGCCAGUAAAGGGUGACUUGGUAAUCUUCCCAAGUAAACAAGACUCACACGUGUCAUUGUCCCUAAGGUCGAAUGACUCCAACACUCCAUCCUUUUGGAGUUGGGCUAUGCGUUUCUUGUUGACAUGGCCAAGGCAACAAUGCCACAAGCAUGAUUUGUCCAAACUAUUGGACGUAUCAAUAUUUAACACAAAAUUUCCUAAGUUGUACACAACCAACACAGAUUCAUAUAUUCCAUUACAAGGUAGUGCAUUAAAAUAGAAAACACCAUCAAGAGAAACAUUAAUAGAACCAUUACUAUUAUCAAAUGAAUAUCGAAACCCUUGUCUAUAUAAUCCAUGAAAAGAAAUGAUGUUCGUUGCCAUGUCUGGCGAAUAGCAACAAUUAUUUAAAUCUAAACCUAACCCAUUACUCAACACUAAGGAAUAAACUCCAAUCUUGGUAACUGGUGACGAUCUUCUGUUUCCCAUGACCAAGUUUAUCCUUCCAUGCUCCACUUCCCUACCUUUUCGCAGGCCCUACAAAUCAGAACAAAUGUGGAAACCACAUCCAGUAUCAAGAACCCAUGAAGUAGCAAGUGAUGAGUUAUUAGAUUUAAUUGAAUACAUACCUGCGAAGGUGGGCUUUAUCUUCCCAUCCUUAAUAUCUUGCAAAUAUUUUGGGCAACUUCAUUUCCAUUGGCCCUUAGAUCUCAUGGCAGUAAAAGCACUCUGCAUCCUUAGGGACAGAAGAUGGUUUAACGGAACCAACUUUGGUCCCACUAGAAGAGGAACCAUCUUGGGACUUCCCCUUUUGGUGGCUCUUAGAAGGAGCCUUCCUCUUCUUACCCUUUCCCUGCCCAAUUGCUAAUAUAGGGGCCGAUUCAGUAGGAAUAGAUGCAACAAAUUUAUCCUUUAGGUUCCUCUCAGCAGUUCUCAACAACCCUUGAAGCUUGCUCAAAGUGACCUCCUCUUUGUUCAUGUGGUAGGUCAUUCUGAACUAGUUGUAGCACGAAGGCAAGGAGUGGAGGAUGAUUUCGAUAGACAAAUCCUCAUCAAAGUUAACAUUUAACUUUAGAAGAUGAUCAACAUACCUCUGCAUCUUCUGCAGAUGCGAGGUUAGGGAUUCUCCACUCCCCAUCCUAGCGGUGAUCAUGUUAGUGAUGAUCUCAUAACGCUCUUGCUUCGCGCUUUGGUGGUACCUAUCCAUUAAAUCUUGAUGCAUCUCGCAUGGAUACAUGUCCUCGUAGGACUUUUGGAGUUCUGCAUUCAUAGUCGCGAGCAUGAUGCAAUGAACCUUCAUAGCAUCACGCUCAUGUGCCUCAAAGGCAACAAUUUCUUCAGGGGUGGCAAUGUAUGGAUUGAUCUUUUCAAGCUUCUCGUCGAGGACAUACUCCUUGUCCUCGUAGCGAGUGAUCAUCCGAAUGUUUCAGAUCCACUCGUUGAAGUUGUUGCCAUUAAAGAUCACUUUCCCACACAAAUUCCUGAGUGAGAAUCACCAUUAGCCGCAGGAGCGUUGUUCUUGUUUGCGUUAGACAUCUGAAAAUAGAAAGGGACAAGUUUGAUUAGAAUGAAUCCCCAAUUAAUCACUGAAAUGAGAAAUUAGGGUUAGGAUCCAACAACAUUAUUUACAACUUAGAAAAGGGAUAUCGUAAUCUAAAAGCAAAUAAUUUGAAGGUAAGUGAAUGACGAUUCACUAAUUUUCCACUAUGAAAAACAAAAGAAGAUUAUGUUUUAAAUGUUUUAUGAAAAACUCCUAGAUCUUUGAGAUUCAUUUAACUUUUCAAUGGCAUGUCUCAAUCUCGAUGUGCCCUUCAAGUUUGUGACUAGGAUACCGAGGAUCACAAACAAGGUGUGAAUAACCAUGUGAAUCAACAUGGUGCACUCAAUGUCACUAUCACCUAAUCAAUACGCCGGUUAGCCACACACAUUCCAUUGAUCUAUGAUAAACAUUGAGCCACCCGUUGCAACCAAUGUCAACCCCAAAUUAGUGUGUCGGUUAACCACACACGCUCAACUAACGUUUGACAAGGGUACGAAGCGUAAUUCCAUGGAAUAACGUCAUUUUCACAUUUUACAAUAAAGUAACUAAGAUUGGGAAUUUGAAAAACAUUUAGUUACUUGUAAUAUUCAUUAUACUUAUAAUGAGGAAUUAAAUGCCCUAUCAUAUCCGUUCGGCUAACGACCUUCCAUCAAUCAAGGAAGCGGUGGCUGAGAGUGGACACCCAUUAAGCGCCAUUUUAUAGGCAGCAACCUUAUACCCCCCUUAUAGACCGGCUUCGUGAAUGAGGCCUACUAGCGAUAAAAGUAGCUUAUUCUUAUACAUAUACAUAUAUAUAUAUAUAUAUAUAUAUAUAUAUAUAUAUAUAUAUAUUUAUAUUAUAAUAAAUAAAAUAUAAGUUUAANAGGUUAAAUUUUAAACUUGUAAAAUUCUAAGGGUUUGAAAUUUAAAUAAUUCAAAAUUAAACUUUUAAUCAAAAAUUUAAAUUCCAAAAGUUGAGGACAAGUUUUGAACUUUUCAAAACACAAAGGAUCAAAUAACAAAUAAUAUAAAUUAAACAAUUAAUUUUGUGAUUAUCUAUAUAUGACCUAAUCCAAUGUUAUUCAUAAGAUAAUUACCAAAUAAUUUAAACAAUCAACAUUUAUCAUAUAAAGAAACUAUUAUUCAAAUGAUUUGAAAUUAUCUUUUGUUUUGGUAAGGAUAAUCAUUUAAACACAAUAAAAUUCGGAUUUUAUCAUUAAAAAACAGCUUUGGCAUUUAUCCUUUAGCAAAACAACAAUAAAUCCCGAAAAUCUUUUUGUCUGACAGCUAAACUCGCCGAGUCUACCUUGGAACUCGUCGAGUUCAACCUGCUCGUCGAGUUCCUCAUGGAACUCGUCGAGUUCAUCAGGCAGUUAGCAAUAAAAAACGAUUUGAAAGCUUGAACAAAUAAACUAGGCAUCAAUACAAUAGAAACCAAACCAGUCUCUGAUAACACUAAUGGGUUUUACACACAAGAACUUUCCUAUGUGCUCAUGCAAACCCUAAUGUUUGGAUCUAGGUUUCUCUAUUGUACAUGCAUUGUAUCCAAGACUUACAAACCCUAAUCUAGCAUACAUAUUUCGAAAAUAUCAAGAUAUACCAGAUCUAGAUGUUUACCUCUUGAAAAAUCUUGGAUCUUCUUCUUCUUGGAGCUUAGAGUCACAAGUGUAACUCCUCUAAUGGCUUACAAACACCACACAAGCAAGAAGUCAAUAUGAGAGAGGGAAGAGAUGCUAAAAAUCGGCCCUAGGGUUUCCUUGGAAUCAAGUGGCUGAAAAUUGCAUGUAGGGGUCUCUAUUUAUACUGUAGGUUGCUAGGGUUUCAGUCAAAAACCCUAAUGGACAGCUUAAUCACCAAGCAGCCCAUGGAACCUUCUGGAAUAAGGCCUAUGGAUGAAAUUAUGAUUUCAAUAAUAAUUUCGUUCAACCUUUAAUCCAUUAGGUUUCCCAACCCAAAAACCAACUAUCACACAUUUGAUAGUUUAAGCCCCUAUAUUUAAUUAAUCUCUUUUGGCCACCAAAUUAAUUCCUAUUUAAUUUAUGACUAAUAUUAAUUAAAUAAUAUGAUUUCCCUUUUAAUAUAUUAAUCACAUAAUAUAUUAAAAAAUCAUAAUUUCCUCUCUCUCCAUAAAUUACCUUGUCAAGUUGCUUUGGUGAAGGCAACCCAAAAGGACCAUGCACAACCGGUUCAAGUUCAUACCAAAUGUAGUUUCGGGCUUAGACACUAAUCCAACAAGUUAUCGAUUCAGUUGAUGAUGCAGAGGUAUGUUAGAAAUAGCAACCUACUUUGAUUUCUUCCUUUUACAUCAUUGUCCUUUAAAGUACAUUGCAUGUAUAAGAAACAUUGAAACUAUUUCUUACAUUCAGCCCAAUACAAUUUUUGUUUUUGUGUCAGGUGAAAGUGGGAGGACAGGUGCAAAAUAAAGGGUAGGCAAUAGAAAGAAAUGAAAGUAAGUGUUGUGUGAUGUUGUAAUAGAAAGAAAUGAAAAUGAGAUGCCAUAAUAAUCAAAUAAAUGAAAUUAUAUUGCUAUUUCUUACAUUUAGCCCAAUAACAUUGUACAUUUGGCUCAACCCUUCCUAACCAUACAAUUGAAACAACAAGAUUCUAAUAGAAAGAAAUGGAAGUAUGACGCUAUAAUAACAUAUAAAUGAAAGUACAUUGAUAUUGAUUGCAUUAAUCUUAACAACAUUAUAUAUGGUGGACAUUUGAAAGUGUUGACAAAGACAAUAACACAUUGUUUGAAGAAGUGAGGAUCAUGGUUUUAAAAUAAAAGGUGGAGCAGUUGGAAAAAAAAAUCCUACACUCAAUGUGAAAAGCACUCCUUAAUGCCAUGAGAGGUUAAACUUUCUGCACAUAUAAUAUCUAUAUUACUUUGUAUCUGUCUGCAUUAGCCCGUUAUAAAUGUCCUAUAAUUUUUGUAUUAUUUUUUUGUUUGCAUUUUUUAGAAAAUUUGUAGCCUUUAUUAUAUUUUGAUUGGACAAUCGGAGACACCUAAGAGAUGUAUAUUUUUAGUGGCUUUUUUCUUAUACUAAAUGACAAAUGAAGGAAAGAUAGUAAAAAGAUAAUUCAAGUUGAAGGAGGGUUGGUAGUAAAGGAGUAAACAUUUGGUUAUGAUUGCAUAUUUUAGGGUAUAUUGGAAAAAUUAGCUAUAAUAAGGGAAUAAAAUGUUAAAAUAACCUCAAAUAAGGACCAAAAUUGUAAGAUGGAAAAAUAAGCUCUAAUCAUUGGUCUCUAUUCAAACUAAAGGAGUAACACAGGUCCUAUUCAAAGUAAAAUAUGUAUAGUUUUAGGACAAAAAUUGGAAAAAUCAGCUAUGAUCGGGGAUUAAAAUAGUCAUUUCGCUUGGAACAAUGACACAACAUGUUACAAUAACGGCCUAUAUGUAUAGUUUUAUGGUACACACUUUUGCGUAUCAUAAAUCACUGUGUGUCAUAGUUUGCGCGUCAUUAAAGGCCUAUAUUCUAGAAGUGAACCUCAAAUAAGGACCAAGAAUGCAAAGAUAAAAACUUUCUGGGACCAAAAUUGAAAAACAUAUAUACUCAUGGAUCAAAAUAUAAUUAAAUCAUAAUCUUAUGUUUCUUUUCUUCAGCAGGGUGUUAAGAUAAAUGAUCCACAAGCGUUUAAUGACCAAGAGGUGGAGGUUUGGUCGCGUGUUGUGUGGAAGCCAAAAUGGGCAGUUACAUUUUUGAUGUUAAAAGGAAAUCGAUGGAAACAACAACUAUGUUUUUCAAAAAUCUAAUUUGGGCAUUAGAGGUCGUAUUGUUCUUAUUGAAGAUGUGUCACUUGAUGGAACUUAGUUAUCAGUUCACUUGAUGAUUUCGAGUUAUGUUAGAAAUAGCAAUGUACUCUCAUUUACCCCAACCUAACCUAUUUAAUGAGCAGGUUGAACCUGAGUUGAUCUAUUCAAAUUUCCAAUAAUAUAUCCUUGAAAAUCAACUAAUCCUUCAAACACAAUUACAUAAAACUUAAAAACUCCGAUAAUUGUUCACGUUUGAAAAUAAUACAACGAUAAGUCUCUAGUAGAAACACAAAUAAAGUGUUUACAACCAUAAAAACAUUAUACACGUUUAAUCUUUAAAUGCUAGACAGCUCAACUUUCAAUAAUGAUCACCAAUCCACAUUUUUUGAGUAGAUAAUAUUAAAAAAAUUUAAGCGGGUUCGCUAGCUGUAAGCAGAUUGAGAAUUUUAACCCUAACAUAGCCCAUUUAAUUAAAUAUAUUAGAUGGGUUAAGCCGUUUAGUUAAACGUGUUAAAGAUCUCAACCAAACCAGCUAAUUACCAACCCUAAAUAAAGGGUGGAUGAUUGAAAGUGUUGAUAAAAACAAAAGUCUGUUACCUAAAGAAAUGAAGAUUGGGGAUUUCAAAAUUAAUAUAAAUGGAGCAAUUGGAAACAUCUUAUAGUGAACCUAGGAAGCAUUCCUUGAAGCCAUGAGGUUAAACUUUUUGUAUAUUUGAUUCUAACCAUAUGGUGCUAAUAUGACGUUCAUGUGGAUUUUCUCUUUUAUUUAAUUCUUAUUUUAUUAAACGUUAAAUUUAUUUUAAUAUAAAAGAAUAAUUAAUAUGUAUAUUUUUAUGUAUUGAAAACCUUAGAGUGAUAUUAUGGGCAAAAAGUGCAAGUUCAAACGGUACCUAUUACCUUUUAUUCUCAACCUUUUCUUUCUAAAAAACUUGUUCAUCUAUAGUCAUCUUUGGGUCAUGCGUUGCAGAUGCAAUAGAGGCCGUUUGUUGCAAAUACAAUAGAGAACUCAAUAAUAGAAAUGAUAAACUAGAGUAAAUUAAGCUUUCAAUUUCCAUUUAUAACUUUUUUUUUUUGGGGNNNNNNNNNNNNNNNNNNNNNNNNNNNNNNNNNNNNNNNNNNNNGGGGGGAGGGAGGGGGAGGGGUGAAAUUUUCGGUUGCUCAUUUAUUUCGGAAUCAUUGAUGCAGAAAACCGAUGCUAAUCAUGUUUUCCAUUGCGAAAUAUAAUGGAAGUGCCAAAGUAUGAUAUCUAAUGGAUUUACCAUUACACCGUUACUAAACAGGUUGUUCGUUUCAAACAAAAUUGAUUUGUAUCAAACUAUUUUUUUUCCACAAUGGUCCGGUUCGGUUUCCAAUUUUUUUAGUGUGCCUCUAAUUUUCAUUGUGUUUUUUUAUGCUAGAAUGUAUGAUUUUUUUAGGAUAUAUUAUUUCAUACAAAACAGGGAAAAUGGCCACCCAUGGUGUUGGUGGCAAAUAUAUUGAUAUGGGGGAUUUAAAAACUCCAACCAAAUUACAUUACAUUACAUACUGGAAAAUAAGAAAUCAAAAAUAAAAACUAGAUGACAAACUACGUGUGUCUAGCCUUUUGCAAACUUGAAACGAACACAACCACUUUCACAUAAACCCAAUCUUUGAAGCUGUCAUAAAAUUGAAAAAAUGCACGUCUCCCUCGACGGUUGAGAAGUAAAGCGCCACAUGCUAUCCAAAAUCCAGUAGCAAAACCAAUGCCCACACCAGUAUAAAACCAUCCCCAGAGUUCAUCAUUUGUGUCUUCCCCAUCACCCUCACCUUUACCAAUAAGAGGUGGUACUUUUGAUUCUUCAUCUAGAGGACAACUUUUGGUAAGAGGAGGUCCACAUAGACAUGCAUUUCCAUUGUAUCUUGAUGGUUGAAAGGAUUGGAGUUGAGUGCUGGUUGGGAUUCUUCCAGACAAGUUAUUAAAUGACAAAUCUAGGUCAUUCAAUAAACUCAUCUGAGACAUGCUUGAUGGUAUCCUCCCUGAUAAAUUGUUUCUGGAUAAAUCCACCGUUAGAAGCUUUUUCAUCUCACCAAUAUGCUGUGGAAUCUCUCCAGAUAGAGCAUUCAUUGAAAAAUUCAGGGCAAUCAAAUCUGAAAGAUUGGUAAUUUGAUAUGGGAUUUGUCCUGUUAAGUUGUUGCUUGACAGGUCAAUGCUCUUCACCAAUUUCAGAGUACUUAAGAAUUCAUGUUCACCUCCUUGCCACUGAAUCAUUGCAUGGUCAACAUAUAUCCCUGAUGCAUAUACAAUAUUGUUUAUACUUGUUUGAAAGUAUACAUCUUGUAAGAUUCCUCCUUGGUGAACCAUGCUCGUAAGAUUACUCAAACAUGAGGGGAUGGUUCCAUGAAGAUUGUUCAUCGACAGGUCUACAAUUUGAAGAUUACCUAACUGACAUAACUGUAAAGGGAUGGUUCCAAUGAAGUUGUUUGAUCUUAGGAUAAGAACAUACAAACCUGAUAAGUUUUCCCCAAUCCAGACAGGCACAUUACCAGAAACUUGUUGGCCCUCAAAUUCAACGAGAUUAAACCCGUGCAAUUUUUUAAGGACAAAGGCAAUUCUCCAGAGAAGUUGUUCUUGAAUAAAUACAACACCUGGAGUUGUAUCAAAGAUCCAACAGAGGGAGGAAUCCGUCAAAGAGAUUGNAUUAAGAACUUGUAGUCCUUUGAAACGCCACAAACAGUCCGGGAGUUGUCCGAUUAAUGAGUUAUGAGAGAGGUCAAGAAAUGAUAAGAACCCAUCAACAAUUUGGCAUACAAAUGAGAUUCCCCCAAAAAAUUUGUUUCUGGAAAGAUUUAAUAAGAACAAGGUGGAAGGAACAUUCGGUAUUGGACCAUAAAAGUUGUUGGAACUCAAAUCUAUCUCUGAAUAUUUGGCAAAAUUUGAUGAUAAAUCUGGUACUUUCCCGCUAAUGUUGUUGGAAGAGAGAUUCAGAUAUUCUAAUUGAGAAGGCCACAUGUCCCAGAACUCCAGAGGAGUUGUGUCUGAAAUUCCAGUAUUGGAAAUGCCAAGAAAGGUAAGAUUUUUGUGUGUCUGAAUCCAUUUGGGGAAGAGAGGCCCUACCUUGCAAGACCUCAGAUCAAGAUACUGAAUAUAAGAGAUGUUUGACAAGUGAUCUGGGGAAGGAACUGUAAGAUUAUUAGAAGAAAGGUAAAUAGUUCGGAGCCUGGGUAGUUCCCACAGUUUCUCACUUAUACUUCCAUUUAACUGAUUAUCAGAUAGGUACAGAGAUUCUAGGGAUGCAAACUUCUGGAUCACAUCGGACAGUGGCCCUGUAAAUUGGCUUCCUUGAGCAGACAACUUUUGUAAUGAAAGGGAUGUGCAUCCAGACAAGUUGUUGAGAAAAUCAGGAAAUUUGACAGCAGCAGAGUUGUAGAAGGAUAAAGUUUCCAGACUACAGAGGUUACCAAGAUAUUUGGGUAUCCCAUCUAACAUAUUAUCAGAGAGAUAAAGUCCAUUAAGCUUAUUGCUGGUUAAUGGGAGCAACCAACGAUACAUGGAUGAUGUGAGAUUGUUGUCACUGAGAUAAAGGGUAUGAAUAGAUGAAGAAGAAGAAGAGUUGAGAAAAGAAGAAUAUGGAUACAUAACCUGUGACAGCUCACAUCUCCCUAAACUUAAACGCAACAGUUUUGGGAGACUCGAAAUUACACCUACCCAAUUAUUUGCAUUCGCAAGGGAAAUCCCAUCCAUUCUCAGAUCCUCCAAAUGAGAGAGAUGAGACAACCACUCCAUGUUUUCAACUCUACAACUUCCAACAGAAUCAAGAUAAAGGUAUUGCAAGUUGGUGAGGUUUCCAAAGUGUGAAGGAAUGGUUCCAUAAAGAGAGUUACUGGAAAAGGAAAGGUGCCUUAACUGGGUCAAGUAACCAAUGGACCUGGGAAUAGCUCCAUGAAAAGAAUUGUAGGAAAGGGAAAGGUACCUUAAUCGAGUCAAGAACCAAUGAAAGUGGGAAUGGUUCCAUGAAAUGAAUUGUCAGAAAGAUCAAGAAGAUUCAAGUAGGUUAAGUUAAGCAAGGAAUGGCUAAUCUCACCUCCAAGACCAUCCUGUGAAAAGAAGUUGUUGAGUUCAAGCUUUGUGACAUGACCAGUUUGGUUGCUGCACUCAACUCCACUCCAUUUACAGCAGUCAUGUUGGUCAGAUCUCCAUGUAGAGAGAGUAUCAUAAGUGUCGUGAAGGGGAGCUUUGAAGAGAAGGAGCGCAAGUCUCUCAUUAUCCAAACACUUUUUCAUAUUAACACGAUUUCUAUCAUCUCCUCCUUCUCCCACUGCUACCAAUUGGCUGGUAGUUGCAGUCACAAGGAGUACCAAGAAAAGUGAGAAAACUAUAGAAGCACAAAGAUUCAUAAUUUAAUUAAAAAUGAAAAUCUUGGUGAUUUUUGGUUUGU